CUAGCUUCUCUUUCCAAAAGCAUGGCGUGCACUGUCCUUUCAUUGCUAGACCACAUCUUGAUCACUGUAUUGCUCGUCCUCGCUCGCGACAUUAUCAUAGCCGGUGUUGGCAUAGCUCCACCUCCCACUCCUCUACCUCUUCCACGGCUACGUGCACCCUCUCCGACACCUCGUCCUCCCAGUCUUGGGUCUCCUCCUCGCACUCCUCUUCUUCCUCCCCCUCGGACAAGCACUCCACCUCUAAAUCCUCUUCCUCGUCCAUGGUUGAGGGCACCUUCGCCAGCUCCUAUUCCUACACGGCUAGGAGCUCCAACUCGUACUCCUAUUCUUCCUUCUCCUAAGGUAGGUGCUCCACCACCUACACCUAUUCCUCCUAUUCCUCGGUUUGGGGCUCCCUCCCGUGGUCCUAUCCUUCCACCCCCUCGAAAGGGUGUUCCACCUUCUACUACUCCACUUCCAGCACCACGAUUAGGGGCACCUCUCCCGUCCCGUCGUCCUUGUCCUCCACCUAGCGCUCCUAUACUUCCUCCCCGUCAGAAAGGCGCUCCACCUUCCACUCAUCCACUUCCUACACCAAAAUUAGGGGCACCCCUCCCAUCCACUCCACUUCCUCCACCUCGUGCUCCUGUCCUUCCUCCCCGUCGGAUGGGCACUCCACCUUCCCCUCCUCCACUACCUGCACCAAGAUUAGGGGCACCUCUCCCAUCCCCUCUUAGACCUCCAUCUCGUGCUCCUGUAGUUCCUCCCCGCCGAAAGCGCAAGCCACCUCCUACACCACGUUCUAAGGCACCCAUUCCAUCUCCUGUUAUUCCGCCCCCUCGAAAGGGCGCUCCACCUUCCCCUCUUCCACAACCCGCACCAAGAUUAGGGGCACCCCUCCCAUCCCCUCUUAAAGCUCCAUCUCGUGCUCCGGUACUUCCUCCCCAGCGAAAGCGCACCCCACCUCCUGCACGACGUUCUAAGGCACCCAUUCCACCUCCUGUUGUUCCUCGCCCUCGAAAGGGCAGUCCACCUUCCAGUCCAAUUCCUGCACCAUGGUUGGGGGUACCCCUUCCAUCUCGUCCUCUUCUUCCCCCUCGCGGACCUACUUUUCCUUCACCUCGGAGGGGCACUCCGCCUUCCCCUCCUCCACUUCCUACACCUCUUCUUCCUCCAGCUCGUGCUCCUUUAUAGAAAAUCUUUUUGUCUAAGGAAUCAUGAAGGCAGCACCAAUCUCUUCUGAAACAAUAAGAUAGCAACAACAGCAAUAUCUUCAUUCAACUCGUCAAAAUAGUUCUAGAAGCCAAAGAUUGAAUCUCAGCUGGAUGGGUUUGCGUUUGCUACAGUGCCAUAGGGUCCCAUCGGCCACAAGAAAAUCAUGUAAUAAAUACAACUAUUUUGUUUGUGGGGUGUGUAAUAAAUUGGUAAGCCUAGGCUUACUACUCCUAUGUAUUUCAACACUCCUUGCAAUAGCGAUUUGAUUUGCUCAAUUAGCCAUCAUGGAUCUGUUUGCAACUCAUCAUCCUUCUCUAUUUGUCAUUGUUUGUUGCUUCCUCGGUGUGUUUUUAUUUUAACACAUGGGCACACAAAGAAGCUGUCCAUUUCUUUCAAAGCAAGAAGAAUUUGCAAAACAGCCCCUUAGUUGGAAAAACUUGUACAUGACUAAAAUAGUGUAGAUAGAUGUUGGAAGAUAUAUUUGUUGGUUCUUUUCCAUCAAAAUUUUAAUUUCCCAUAAAAUUAUAAGGAUGUAUGAUGUGAAUUGUGACUGUGGAUUCUUUCUCGGGAGCGCCAAAUAACAUCCACCUCUCAAACUAAUUAACGCAAAGAUGUGCUCCAGCCAACGGUGGAUUUUUGCCCUAGGCUUGACACAAAACAUCUGUUUACUCCACUGGGUUUUUUUGGCCUAAUCCGUAUGCCCUAGCCAUCAUGCUUGCAAUAAUCAUAUCCCACCACCUGCCCAACAAUUAAUUAACCAUCCGUCUACCCCAACAAUGCUUGAAGUAAUCCCCUAGUGCCGCCAAAUUAAGGAACCAAAUUGAUCAAUCGAGGAGUAGAGCGGCGAAAUCAAAGGGUGACACCGGCAAUAAUGUAAUUGAAGGGGAGGCUGUCAGUAGGCAGCCUAGCAGGUAGUACCGUACCAGCCAAUGUUGCCACGUUGCCCACUCAUUCGGGAGGCAAGCAGGACAGGUACGGUGCAGUAUAAGAGCACUCCCAAUGCAAAAACCAUUGUGGUUUCUAUAGACAUUAAUUGCAAUGUCACCUAUGCAUUUUGCUGAUGUGGCAAUAUAGUUAUUGAAGAGAGAGAGAGUAAAAAUCAUAGAAACUGAGUCUAAGUUAGAAACCAUGUCUACACAAAAUCGAAGACAUGAAGUGAUAUGAUUGGCUAAGAAUGGAGAGAGAAUGAAUGUGAUUGGACAUAAAAAUAUUCUAUAUAAACUAUCCAUUGGACCAUACACUGCUGUAGGAUUAGGCAUUAGCACCGAUCGGGAACGGCCUGUUGCCCCGGUUCCCGAGCUGGAUGGUAACACGUAAUUGGAUGUAUAAUGCCGAUCGGCGCUCCGAAGAGUUCAUUAAUGGUGUGCACUAUUUCUUAAGUGUGGCCGAGACAAAUAAGAGGGACGGUUUCAUGUGCUGUCCAUGUGUCGUGUGCAAGAAUUUGACGGAAUAUUCUAACUCAAGAACUCUUCAUUCGCACUUACUAAAGUCUGAUUUCGUACCAAACUAUAUUUGUUGGACCAAAUAUGGAGAAAGCGGGAUUAUAAUGGAUGAAGGUGAAGAAGAAGAAGAAGAAUUGGAUCAUGCCAAUAUUAUUGCUCAGUACGGUGGCUUCAAUGAUGUUGCAAUGGGGGAGAUAAUGAAGAAGAGGUAGCGACAGAAGAUGAUCGGGGCGAUGAUGCUUUUGGUGAUGCCAUCCGUGAUGCACAAAGAGAAUGUGAAAGUGAUAAAGAGAAAGUCAAGUUCGAGCGCAUGCUAGAGGACCAUAGAAAAUCGCUAUAUCCCACCACUGAAGAGGGGCAAAAAAAGCUGGGUACCACACUGGAAUUGUUGCAAUGGAAGGCAAAGAAUGGUACAUCUGACAAGGCAUUUGGGCAGUUAUUGAAGAUCAUAAAAAAGAUGCUUCCGAAAGGCAACGAAUUGCCCACCACUACGUAUGAAGCAAAACAGGUUGUCUGCCCUUUGGGAUUAGAAAUCUAGAAGAUACACGCAUGUCCUAAUGACUGCAUCCUCUACCGUGGGGAGGAAUACGAGAAUUUGGAUGCAUGUCCGGUAUGUAAGGCAUCACGGUAUAAGAUUAGAUGAGAUGAUCCUGGCGAUGUUGAGGGUGAAGAACGUCAUAGGAAGAAAAUUCCUACCAAGGUUAUGUGGUAUGUUCCUAUAAUACCACGAUUUAAAUUAACGUCUGUUCAGAAAUAAGGACAAUGCAAAGUUGUUGCGGUGGCAUAAAGAAGACCGUAAGACAGACAAUAUGUUGAGACACCGUGCCGAUGGAUCCCAGUGGAGAGCGAUAGACAAAGAAUUCCCAGAUUUUGCAGAUGAUGCUAGAAACUUGCGGUUCGCCUUAAGUACAGAUGGUAUGAUUCCUUUCGGUGAGCAGAGCAGUAGUCACAGCACUUGGCCAGUUACUCUAUGUAUUUACAACCUUCCUCCAUGGCUAUGCAUGAAGCGGAAGUUUAUUAUGAUGCCGGUGCUUAUCCAAGGACCGAAGCAACCUGGCAAUGACAUAGAUGUCUACCUAAGGCCAUUAGUUGAGGAACUUCAACUUUUAUGGAGCAAACCAGGAGUUCGCGUGUGGGAUGAGUACAAACAAGAGCCCUUUGACCUGCGAGCAUUGCUGUUUGUAACAAUCAAUGAUUGGCUAGCUCUGAGUAAUCUUUUAGGCCAGUCAAACAAGGGAUAUAAUGCAUGCACACAUUGUUAUGAAGACCUUGACUGUGUAUUUUUGAAAAAAUGUCGAAAGGUCAUGUACCUUGGCCACCGUCGGUUUCUUCCUGUGAACCACCCAGUACGAAAGAAAGGCAAGCAUUUUAAAGGCAAGGCAGACCACCGGACCAAACCUCUCAAUCGAACCGGGGAUGAUGUACUCGAAAUGGUCAAGGAUAUAAAAGUGGUAUUUGGAAAGGGGCGAGGCAGCGAACCUAUUUCCAAGGAUGCUAAGGGACACGUACCCAUGUGGAAGAAGAAAUCCAUAUUUUGGGAGCUACCUUACUGGAUUGUCCUAGAGGUCCGCAACGCGAUCGACGUGAUGCAUCUGACAAAGAAUCUUUGUGUGAACUUGCUCGGAUUCAUGGUUGUCUACGGGAAGUCUAAGGAUUCACUUGAAGCACGACAAGACUUGCAGCGCAUGAAAGAACGAGACAACCUGCAUCCAGAAAAGACAGAUGAUGGACGUCAUUACUUAAGCCCUGCUAGCUACACUCUGAGCAAAGAAGAGAAGGAAAGCAUGUUUGAAUGUCUUAGCAGCAUCAAGGUCCCAUCUGGAUUCUCCUCCAAUAUCAAGGGAAUAAUUAAUGUGCCAGAGAAGAAAUUCCUGAACUUGAAGUCCCAUGACUGUCACGUUCUAAUGACGCAAUUGCUGCCGGUGGUUUUAAGAGGAAUUUUACCUCCACACGUACGUCUAGCCACCGUAAAGCUAUGUGCAUUCCUCAAUGCAAUUUCUCAGAAGGCAAUCAAUCCAGAGCAACUAGCUACUCUGCAGAAUGAUGUCAUUCAAUGUCUUGUCAGCUUUGAGUUGGUGUUCCCUCCAUCCUUCUUCGAUAUCAUGACACACCUCCUAGUUCAUCUGAUCAAAGAGAUUCGUAUUCUCGGUCCUGUGUUCCUACACAACAUGCUCCCCUUCGAGAGAUUCAUGGGUGUCCUAAAGAAAUAUGUCCAUAGUUGUUCCCGCCCAGAAGGAAGCAUUGCCAAGGACUACGGAACAGAGGAGGUCAUAGAGUUCUGUGUUGACUUUAUUCCAGACCUUGACCCAAUUGGCAUUCCUGAAUCUCGACACGAGGGCAGACUCAGCGGAAAGGGAACACUUGGGAAGAAAACAUAUAUUGGUACGGGAGACGAUUACUUAAUAAAGCACACUACACAGUUCUCCAGAACUCCUCAUUGGUGGAACCAUAUGUUGAGGUACACAAAGAUUUCCUACGGUCCCAGUGGCCAGGGAAGAAUGAAGCUUGGAUAAUGCGUCAGCACAUGGAAACUUUUGGCGAUUGGUUGCGCAAAAAAUAUCAAGGUGAUGAAAACAUUGAUGAGCAGCUUUAUUUGUUGGCCAGGCAACCAUCAUGGCAUGUCCUCACGUACAAAGGGUACGAGAAAAAUGGUAACACAUUUUACACAGUUGGCCAAGAUAAAAGGAGCACCAACCAAAAUAGUGGUGUACGCGUGGAUACCACGGAUCCAAAUGGAAACAGACAAACAUAUUAUGGACGCAUAGAAUACAUAUGGGAACUAGUCUAUGCAGCUAAUUUUAAAGUUCCUUUGUUCCGGUGCCAAUGGGUGAAGAUGACCGGAGGUGGGGUAACAGUCGACAAGGAGUAUGGGAUGACAACCGUGGACCUUAACAAUAGUGGGUUCAAAGACGAACCAUUCGUCCUUGCUGCAGACGUGAGUCAGGUGUUCUAUGUCAAAGAUAUGUCUACGAAACCAAAGAGAGGAAAAAAUGAUGACCACUCAAUCAUCAAUGAGCCAAAGCGCCACAUUGUCCUUUCUGGGAAAAGAAACAUUGUCGGAAUUGAGGACAAGUCAGACAUGUCAGGCGAUUACGAAAGGGAUGAUCGAAUUCUGCCCUUCAUAGUCAACAAAGACCCAAGCAUUCUGUUGAACAAUGAGGAUACUCCAUGGUUAUGGCAGGAUCAUAACCAAGGGUCAUACGUCAAGAAGAAGUUCACUGUUGUGUCGGCUUAACAUAAAGUCAUGUUUAAUAGUAUGUGUUGUAAAAUGUACGAAUUCUGAGAAUUGUAUGAAACUAUAUUUGAGAAUUGUGAAUUUUGAUGAGUAUAUCAAACUUUGUAUUCAUGACUUUUUAUAUACACAAUUUUUCCAUUUGAGAAAGUUUAAGUUAACAAUACCCACCAAAUCUUGAAUCUCACACAAACUAUAUGAAACUAUAUGUGUCAAUUGUGGAUUUUCAACUACACCUUCCCAAAAUUUUGUCAAAUGCAAAAAUGGUCUAUAUAUGAAAUGUAGAUUUAGAUGAGUGGAACAAUAUUGGUAUUCAUGACUUUUCCAUUCGAGACCAUCUAGGGUUACGAAACCGCUGCGUGGCUAUGAAUUAUCUGAAAAUUCAAAAUUCAAUGGUUCAAACUUUUCCAAAUGAAAAGUUGACCAUUAGACAAAAUGUAGAACUUGAUGAGUGUAAUAAACUUUGUAAAAAUGACUUUUCCAUUUGGGACCAUCUAGGGUUCGGUCAAAGGGUGUUUUCGUAAAAACCAAUGCUUUGAUUUUGGUCAAACUUGAUCAAAUGGCCCAUUUGAUGACUUCAAAUGAAACAAUUUUGAAUACAAAGUUGUUAGAGAUCAUCAAGAUCAACAUUUUAUAUAUUGUCCAUUUUUCCAUUUGGAUAAUUUUGAGCCAAUCCUGAUCACAUUUCUAUAAAAUCCAAGACGAGUUUUGGUCAAACUUGGUCAAAUGACAAACUAAACUACUUAAAAUGAAAAAAAUUUGAAUACCAAGUUGUUAGAUAUCAUCAAGAUCUAAACUUUUUAUAUACACAACUUUUCCAUUUGAGAAAGUUUAAGUUAACAAUACCCACCAAUUCUUGAAUCUCACACAAACCAUAUGAAACUAUAUGUGUCAAUUGUGGAUUUUCAACUACACCUUCCCAAAACUUUGUCAAAUGCAAAAAUCAUCUAUAUAUGAAAUGUAGAUUUUGAUGAGUGGAACAAUAUUGGUAUUCAUGACUUUUCCAUUCGAGACCAUCUAGGGUUCCGAAACCGCUGCGUGGCUAUGAAUUCUCUGAAAAUUCAAAAUUCAAUGGUUCAAACUUUUUCAAAUGAAAAGUUGACCAUUAGACAAAAUGUAGAACUUGAUGAGUGUAAUAAACUUUGUAUUCAUGACUUUUCUAUUUGGGACAAUCUAGGGUUCGGUCAAAGGGUGUGUUCAUUAAGAUAUAUAUUUUUGUAUGAUAAAUAGAUUUUUUAUUUGAUGAAAACAAUACCCUACUAGCAUUCCGAGUAAUAAAUAACAAAAAUAAAAAGUUUAACGUCAAUAUGAUGUGAAAAAAUAUUUCCAGUUGAUUGGAUAUAGUUUUUGUAAAUUUAUUGGAAUAAUAUAUUUUUGCAUUAACAAAAUACUAAACAUUUCUUACAAAAUCAUUGCAAAUUAUAAAAAUAUAGUAAGAUAUUUAAGGUUAAAAAUUUUUAUGUGUACAUUAAAAACAAUUACAAUAUAUGUCACUGUUUAAAAAAUAUUAUGCAAAAUAUUUAAUUUAUUAUACAAUUUAUAAUAUAAACUGUAUAUAUAAACAAUUGAAAACCGUAAAGUAAAAAACAGGGUCUUUAGCACCGGCCCAUAGUGGGAACCGGUGCUAAAGGGUCCUGAAAAUUUUCAAGACCCCGCCCGAGCCCGCCUAGGACCCUUUAGCACCGGUUCGUGGCUGGAACCGGUGCUAAAGGGUCCCUUUAACACCGGCUGGUGUUACGAGCCGGUGCUAAAGGGUCCCCCUUUAACACCGGCGCGUAACACCAGCCGGUGUUAAAGGCCCUUUAGCACCGGUUCCAGCAACGGACCGGUGCUAAAAGGUCCGCCCCUAUAUAAGUGCACAGACGCCCUAGAUUUGAAGCAGUCUUCGUCUUCGUCGAGCAGAGAAGUUUCCUGCGCUGCCGGCCGUUCGUCUACCACGCGCGACUCGUCUCCAGCGCUGCCGCCGCCGUCUCCAGCGCCGCCGCCGCUGCCAGCGCCGCGGCUGCCGCGGCCAACUCCGGCCAUCUCUACACCGAGAACACAUCGAUCUCACGUAUACUCCACAACCGCCGUGCAUAUCAUAUCUCUAAAAAAAUAAAUAAAUAUAUAUGUAUAUUAAUUAAAUGUUAUUAUAUAUAUACACUAAAUCACACUGAAUUGUAUAUAUAUAGGUAUAUAUAUAUAUAUUAUAUACACUAAAAAAUAUAUUAUUCUAGUAACAGUUUUUAGUAUAUUAGUAUAUAAGUGUAGUGUUGACCUGUUAUAAAUUAUAUUAUGCUAUUAUAUAUUUGUAAUAUAUUAAUAUUAUUCUUGUAUUAUUUUGUAGUAUUAUUUUUUUAGUAUAUUAUUUGUAGUAGUAUUUUUUAGUAUAUAUUUGUAGUAUAUUAUUCUUGUAAUUAUUUUUGUAUCAUAUUUUAUUUUCUAGUGUUUUGUAUAUAUUAUUGUUUGUACUAUUAUUCUAGUAUUGUUUUGUAGUAUAUUAUUCUAGUGUAUUACUUGGCUUAAAAGAUUUUAGUAUUAUUUUUAGAGCACUCCAACACUUUCAUUUGUAGUAGUACUAGUAGUAGUAUAUAAGUCUCUAAUAUAUAUUCUAGUAGUGUUUACCCACCAAAUUUAUUCUAGUACUGUUUUGUAUAUAUUAUUGUUUGUACUAUUCUUCUAGUAUUGUUUUUUAGUAUAUUAUUCUAGUGUAUUACUUGGCUUAAAAGAUUCUAGUAUUAUUUUUAGAGCACUCCAACACUUUCAUUUGUAGUAGUACUAGUAGUAGUAUAUAAGUCUCUAAUAUAUAUUCUAGUAGUGUUUACCCACCAAAUUUAUUCUAGUAGUGUUUUGUAGAAAUGGCUGACCGUCCUCAGGAUGAUCCUGAUUAUAUGGAAGAUGCCAUUCAAAAUAUGAUCGACGACAGUAGUCAGUACUUUAUGGAUUACCACGAGAUCAUGCAAGGCAAUCCGACUGAGCAACAAGAGGGCAAUGCUCCUGAGCAACAAGAGGGCAAUGCGCCUGAGCAACAACUUGUCGUGCAACAAGAAGAAAAUACUGGCGAGGUAUAUGUAAAUGUAAACAUAUAUAAUUAAUGCAUCUCUUACAUUAGGUUUUAGACUUACUUGGUUAUUAAUUUAGUAUUUUUGUUUCUAUAUCUACGUUUAGCCUUCUGGAUCGACCUCUACGGGGAGAAGCGUACCUCCACGAGGACCAAAGAAGCCGUUGGAGGGCCGCUAUGUAAUCUCCGAGUUUGAUAUAGCUACACGCAGACCACUUGGUGAACAUGCAAAUAAAUAUGUUAGUCACUGUGGAUAUCUUGUGAGAGAUCAAAUACCGAUUAGUGCUCGUGAAUGGAGAGAGAAGCGAGGUGCUCCUGAGAUCAGUUUUGUCUCUGAUCGUGACAAGGAGUUAGUUUGGAAAGCCGUCACAGACGUUUUCACCUUCGACACCAACGAUGAAGAGUUGAAGGUGCGAAUUUAUGACUAGACUAUGAAGAAGAUGGCAGUACUGUUCCAGAAUUGGAAGAAGACUUUGUACAAUAAAUUUGUCAAGAAAAACGAGACUCCAAAUUUCAACCUCAAGCAAUAUGUAAAGCUGAGGGCCUUCUGGGAUGACUUCAUGCAAUACAAAACAUCAGAAGAGGGCGAGGAACGAGCCAUUAGAAACAAAGAGAAUGCAAGUAAAAAGACAUACUACCAUCAUAUGGGAUCAGGUGGUUAUAAGAGUGCUGUUCCCAAGUGGGACCGACUGGAACAGGAGAUGCUUGCUAGGGGGGUCACACCCGAGACAAUAGCAAAGAAUUGGAGCGAGCGCUCCAAGCAUUGGUUCUACGGUCAUGGGGGAAGCGUGGAACCACACACCGAGGCGCUAGUUUGGGGCCAAGAAAUCUCUAGAGCAGCAGAGAGACUAGUCCGUGCACGAGAGGCGGUUCAGUCUAGUGAGUUCAGGCCUAACAGGGAGAAGGAUGAACUCACCUAUGCGCUUGAAAAUCCUAAGCACGGUGGGCGUACGAGAGGCUAUGGGGCAGUUCCGUGGCUGCAAUCAUUCCAAGCCGAUCAAGAUACCUACAGAAGCCGCCAGAGAAAGAAGGAUGAGGAGGCAGAGCGGAUCUGCCGCCUGGAAGCUUUUGUUCUGCAAUCAGAAGAGCACGAGAAAGCUCGUGAAGAAUGGAUGCAGGCGGAGAUUCAAAGGCAAGUGCAAGCAGCACUUAGUCAAAUGACGAAAGGGCAAGGUACAUCACAGCCUGAGGUCAACGUUAGCCCCCCAGGCCAGUUGAAAAGCAGCUGCGCAUCCACGGAAGUACCAACCAUUCAGGAUGACAUGAAGCUACACUUCUCCGUGGAUGAUGUCAUAGAGGCUUUUACUACCUGUGAGCUGCAUGUACCCGAUGGGAAUACAACAAAAAAGGUGGCUAUCGCUGUUGUCAACCCUAUCGACCGAACGAGAACUCCAAGAAUCCAUAAUCGACCAGUACCUGGUGGAUAUGCUAGCAUCUCGGUUGAUAGGGUUGAGAAAGGUUGUGGCAAUGUGCCUCUAGACAUAGAAGGGGGAGACGGAGAGAAGACCUUAGGUGAAGCUGAGAAGACAUUUAUUUGUUGGCGCAAGCGCUUCAUAAUUAUUCCUCAACAUAGGUUUGUGUGUGAUUUUACUUCUUAUAUUAUUUAUUAUGUAUUGAAAUUAAAAAAAAGUUUGCUCACAAAACUUGUAAUUGUUUUCUUUGCAGGGACUCCUCCAACCUAAGUCCAGUUCUCUCUCCAGCGCAUCAUAGUGCUGCGGGCGGUGAUAAUGCUGGAUCUCCUCCAACACCUGCGGCGGCCACACCGACCCCGCCACCGCCUCCACCAUGGUCUCCACCUCCUCCACCAAGGUCUCCAACUCCUCCACCGCGUUCUCCAACACCGAAAAGAUCGGCCCCACCACCUCCACCGCCUGCACCGCCCUCUCCAAAGAGUGCACGGUCGGUCCCCUCGCCUCCAAAGUGAGGUAGUCAGAAGCGGUCCGCCCAAGAACGACUGAAGUCAUCGGUCCCACCUCCAAAGACAGCUGCCUCAGCAAAGAGAGCUAAGACACCAGAAAAAUUACCUUACGAAAAGAGUGAAGAGGAGGUAAUUGCUGCAUCCAAAGCUGAGGUGAAACAUUUUUUUGAUAAAUUGAAGGAGGAUAAAAAAACGGCUAAACCUAGAAAAGCCGUACUUUUAUGUAAAGCCAUCGGAACUGAGGCAUAAGGUGGCGGACCAGCAAAAGAAGCAACAUGAAGCUCAGAAAAAGCCAGCACUUUCGGACUAUGAGCGGUCUCUGGUCAAGUCUUCACAGCCUAGGAAGAGAGUAGGAAAGAGGGUCCCAUAGCUCGGAGAAGUAUCAAAACCGGUGCCCCCUUUGAUUGUGCCAAAUCAAUACGGCUCAAAUGAAGAGUUGAUGCCAAAGAAAUCCUUAGCGUUGUCUGAGCUAGACUCGCUUGAGCGUUACUUUGGACAGAGCGGUUUAAAUAUGAAAGAACUUGCCGCCAUUCUUGGAUGCCAAACAUUUGAAAAAGCCGAGGUAGUUGAUCAAUGGAGGGUAAGAUAUGAACGGGGCAAGAGUCUAUUCGACCCUUAGUGUUUACAUGAGCUCGGCACACAAAUGUUUGCAAUAAACAAAUGGUGCAUUGAGGCGUCUAAAAGGGGAGAGAAUUGGAUUUCUGUUCGUAUUAGACAACAUCACUACUUCCGUGAAGAUGACCUCAUAUACGUGCAGUUCGAAGAAUUGCACCAAUUAUGUCACCUCGACGCUCUCGACAAAUCUCUUGUCAGCUGCUUUUGUCUGCAAGUAUUUUUUUCUUUUUAUUAUACUUCUAACUUCUUUAAUUACAUGUAUAUAAUCCUUACAUACUUAGGAUUUGUAUGUAUAUAUGCAGACACCAAAUGAGAGAGCUCAGAAUCAGUAAUGACAAUAGUAUUGGGUUCGUUGACCCUUAUAUUGUUUUCAAAGCUCCGCAGGCAGUGUGGACAGCAGCUCAUGAGACAGAAGUCUGCACCAAUCUUAUGAGGUUCUUUGUGAACCAAAAAGAAAAACAAAAAAUACUCUUCCCCUUCAACUUCGAGUGAGUUAUAUAGUUAUUAAGUGCAUGCAUAUUUUAUUUUAAUAAUUAUUACUCGAGACAAGUUUUAUAUAGUUAUAUAUAGGCCUGACUAUAUAUAUGUGUAAACAGCUUUCAGUGGAUACUCAUAGUCAUUGAAAUUCCCAAGAACCGGUUGAUAAUCUUUGACUCAAUGAGAAAACCACAAGAAAAUUAUCAACAAAUGGUAAACAUUAUUCAAAGGUACGUAAUGUCGAUCUCAGCUAGAAGAAUAUCAUAAUAUGACUCUGUAAUUAUUAGUUCACGAUCCACAAUGGCUGUGUGUAGGGUUUGGAAAAGAUUCAUUGACCGUGAACAUCUCAGUGGAUGUAAAGCGCCGCUUAACAUAAUACAUCCACAAGUAAGUUCUACUAGCUAGCAAACUUUCGCUAACUUUUAGCCUUUUUAUUGUCGUGGUCGUGAAUAUUUUUUAUAUAUAUGUAUCGUACAGUGGUGUUUAAGACAAGAGGGGGGAACAAUCUAUGUGCAUAUUACGUGUGCAAAUUCAUGAUGGCACAAGUCAAUCAAACACCCACAGAGGCGCUCAGGGUACGUUACAUCAUUAUCUCCUGAAUUAUAUUGAAUAACUUAGAUAACUAAUAUCUUUUUUAUUUAUUUCAAAUUAAAGACGGAAUGGUUGAGGGAAAAGGUCAUACAAAAAGACCGAAUCAAAGCUAUCCAAGAGACGAUAGCAUGAUUUCUCCGCGAGCAAGUGAUCAAUCCAAACGUGGAGUUUCACUUCAACGGCAACGAAACUCUUAUUCCAAACAACGAUGAUCAUUUGUAUCGUUUGUAGACAUUGGGAGAAAAAACUCUAGGUAUAUAUGUGUUACGAAUUUUGUACAUAUAAAACUAUAUAUAUAUAUAUAAAGCUUUUUACAUAUCUAUUUAAUUUUUGAUGUGGCCUAUUCAUUUUAUUAUAGGCAAAGCUUAAUUAUUAAGCUAAGCCUAUAAUUUUCAUUUAUAUAUGGUUAAUAUGCGUGUAAUAUAAAUAUAUUAUUAUAUCAGCAAAACAUGUAUUGAAAACCUAUUAUUAUAUAAAAACAAUAAACAGAACCGAAGAAGUGAACCAUAAAAAAAACCCUUUAACACCGGUUCUGCAACGUGGCAGCCCUGGCAGGACCCUUUAACACCGAUUGGUAUUACCAACCGGUGUUAAAGGAGGGGCUUUAGCCACGGUUGCCCGAAUCGGGACUAAAGGGUGGGCAUUUACUAGUAAACAUGUAUGAUUAAAGAAGAAUCUAAUAAUAUCCUUUAUUUGUCUAGUUACUUCAACAAAUCUUCUACAUUAUACAAUGGACAUUAUGUAGUAAUAAAAAUAAAUCAAGUGAUAUUAACAAACCAAAUAAUUUGAACUAUCCUACUUUCUAAGAUCAUAAAAAGAUACUAUAAUUCAUUCUUGCAAACUACAUUAAUACUAGGUCAACCAUGAAAUAUGAUAUAUAUAUAUAUGGAUACUAAUUUAUGUGAAUGAUUCAAAAUAACAAAGUGAAUUUGAGCUAAAAAUAAUGGGAACAUCACAAGCCAAAAACAACAUGAAAAAGACAAGAAAGACAAAAGUUAGUCACCUCCAAACACGAAGAAACGAUGACGGAGUCGAGAUCAACGAUGGGCGUCGGAGAUGAAGAACAAAUGAGGAAGAAGAAGCUCCAAGAACAACAAUGGUGAAUGGUGCUCUCGGUUUCAAAUGGGCAGAGAGGAGGAGGGAUCCGGCCUAUAAACCGGACCUUUAGCACAGGUUCAGGGCAAAAACCGGUGCUAAAGGGUGACCCUUUAGCACUGGUUUGUGUUACAAACCGGUGCUAAAGGCUUUGCCUCGGCCCGUGGCGCUGGCCGGUGCUAAAGGGGUCUUUACCCCCGGGCCAAAAAAAGGCCGAGGUUUUUGGCCAUUUUGGGCAUGGACCAAUGCCUCAUUUUGUAGUAGUGAUAGUUUUUAUAUAUAGUGUCUAUAAAAAUUAAUAGGUAUAGAAACUAUAUAUAGUUUCUAGCAGGGAGUGCCCUAAUAGGAAUAGUCAUUGUACGUGCACGGCUACGACCAGGUUCCUAGAAGGUUACUUAUAUGGUUUUGUUUAUUAAUUAUGCUGUUAAUUGCUAUAUUUUUCAUGUUGUAUUUAUGCAGUAAUUUUGUAGAAUUUUAUAUUUCACACAAUAAACUAUACAGCAUUGGCUCUAGCGUACAAAUUCAUCAUAUCGGCUCUGCCACCAUGCGCUGGCUGCAACUGGGCAUGCUUGCUAGUGAAGGCACAAAUUCCUACUCAUGCUCGUUACUGCCGCAGCCAUUAAUUUACGGUUUAGAGCGACUCUACCGAAAUGAAAAAAACUUAAUUCUUCCCUAUAUUUCUUUUAUCGGGUAUAUUUUGAAUGCACAUAACUCAUACACUCUAGACUCACAUACACGCGUGCGCCUCUGUAUGAAUGCAAAGAAAAAACAUGUAGUACGACUAAACAAGCAAGCGUGUUUAUACCCUAAAUUUUCUAGAAAAAAAAUAAUAAAAAGGUGCGACCCUAGCGUAGCGUCCAACUAGACAGUCCUAUGACUCGAUUACUGGCCCAUCCUUUGGUUACGUUCAGGUUUAAAAAUAGGCUCGUUGAAGCAGAUUCAGAAAAUCUUCAUCCUUUACUUUAGGCUGUACUGUUUGCUAGUUUAUUGUAAGAUAAAAAUAUUGUUAAAUUAUUAAUAGUAGAUUGGGCUGAUAAGCUCAAGUGACCAAUGCAUAGGUCAUAAGAAUUCUCUCUAUCCUUUUUUUCUCCCUCUCUUAUCACGCCACCUACUCGCUAGCUCCGUGCGGCCGCAUGAUCCCCACAUGGAAUCUUGGUGUGGCGAUGAAAACUUGUGCAGACACUCAAUGCUAUGGUAUGGAACCUGGGUACCUGACUUAAGUGACGGCCUGUAUGACACUACAUAUUUAAUUGUUCUCAAGCAAAGUCACCAAAAAUGUAUGUUGAUACAAAGAAGCGAUCACACAUAACAUAAUAGCGCUAGAGUAGCAGAUCAGUGAGCCCUCGUUGAGAAUACAUGUACUGGUCAAUCCAGUAUUGACAAAAACAUGCAUGCAUGACAAUCCAGCACGACAUUCCAAUAAACCCUCAACAAGAACCCAUGCACAUGUUGGACCAUCCAGUGUUUCAUGCUAUGAAUUGCACACUGGAAACCUAUGAACACCUUCUAGAAAGGACGUGGGGGAAUGAACCUAGAGUUGUUGUAGGAUUGGCAUAUCCAGCUAGAACAUCCGCAAACUCUGAUCCAUCGAGAAGCUUGUAGAUGACAAUGGAUAUAGACACCGUACCCAACGAGCUAGCAUUUGGAAAAGCUAGGUAGUAAUAUAUUGGUUUUAAUUUUUUAUUGGAUCACUCAAUCGGAUGACCCUUAAUAUUUAAAGGGUGGGAGGUCUAUCCUAGAGGUGUCUGAAUACAUCAUGAAGAAAACUGAUCAAAAUCAAACAUAAAGAAGAAAUUGACACUACGUGAAAAACUUAGUAAGAGAGCGCCCCUCCCACACUGUAGGGGCGGCUAACAUUUGAACCGCCCUUACAGUGGGUGGGCAGGUAACUAGGGAGUGAACCGUCCUUGCAGUGUUCUCUGUAGGGGCAGUUGGUGUUACCAGCCAGCCUUACAGUGGGGGAGGCACUGUAGGGUAACACCAGCCGCCCCUAUAGUGGUCUGUAGCAUAAGUGGCCAGCCCACUCUUCUUCCUCCCCGAGUCACUCACUUCCACUCGCAAAAAAAAGCUUGGGAGGCCUUGGGCACCUCCCUAAAAUCACUCUAGUAAGGGGGGAGGUUUUGAACUUAAAUCCUUUGGUGGGGAGCUUGUUUAAGGUAAGAAACUUCUAUUCCCACCCUCUAAUCCAAGUCUUAUUGGUUGGUUAGUGAGCAAUUUACAUUUUGGUUUUCUCUCUCUUCCAUAGAGCUUGAGCUUUGUGUUGACCAAAUUAGAGCUUAUCUAUGAUGCUAUUAGUGUAUAAUAGGUAGAGACACCACCUUGCACCAUCAAUUUGGUGAUAUAGCUUGAUUUUAAUGGAGAUUAAUUGUAGUUUCAUGUAUGGAGAGAAAAGGCAUUCUAGAUCUAGGGUUUCCUUUUUUUGUUUUUGUUUCAUAAAAUUGGAAUGUGGUUGGCAUGAAUAGUUAUUGGUAAACUAAUAGUUGUCGCUAAUAUUAAUUGUUUCUAAUAAUGGUAGAUAAUAACUGGUAUUAUUAAUUAUGUCUAAUUAUCAUUUCUAACACAAUUAUUACUAAUAAUGAUAGCUAAUAAUUGUUGCUAAUAAUGGUAGAUAAUAAUUGUUACUUAUUAAUUGUUGCUAAUAAUGGUAGAUAAUAAUUGGUACUAUUAAUUAUGUCUAAUAAUCGUUUCUAACACAAUUAUUGCUAAUAAUGAUAGCUAAUAAUUGUUGCUCAUAAUGGUAGAUAAUAAUUGUUACUUAUUAAUUGUUGUUAAUAAUUAUUCUCAACUAAUUCAUUUUUUUUAUUUAUGUAAAGAUGGAGAAUAGGGCUACUUGGAUGUAUGGUUUGGCAAGGUACUCGCAAGCCUAUGUUGAUGAGGUGGACAAAUUUAUUCCAAUCACGGUGAAUCAUGCAAAGACGUUGUGAGCAGGAAAUAAUUGUUCAGUUAUUUGUCCCUGUAAAGAUUGCAAGAACCACUUAGCAACUUAUGAUGUGGAAAUCAUCAGAUCACAUCCGAGUAUGGCUCCAUCAUGGUGAAGUAAUGUUUCUUGACGGCAACGAUGAUGACCAAGAAGACGAUGCUGAAGAAGGCCAAUUGUUGUCCCAAUACACAGACAUGUUUGAAGCAUAAAUGCAACAUGAUUCAGCCAAUGAACAAGCACGUGGUGAUGUUGCCGGUGGUGUCGACAAUAAUGAUGGGGAUGUUGGCGGUGUUGACAAUAAUGAUGCGGGAGCAUGUGAGGGGGAUGCAGAAAACUUUGACAACUUAGAGGAAAUGCUUGGGGCCAUUGGACCAGAAAUACUACAACAGAAGAAGAAGGGUCUAGAAAAUCUAGAGCGGGUGAAAUUAGCGUCAAAGGAGACUAUGCAUGGUGUUGAGAAGGGUUGUCCAACACACUAGACACUGCUCCGUUUUGUGCUUGAGCUACUCAUCCUAAAGGCUAAGUACGGCUGGUCAGACUGCAGUUUUGACGAUUUGUUGCAUCUUCUGUCAUCUGUGCUGCCACUGCCGAACUUAGUUCCCUCCAACACAUACCAUGCUAAGAAGGUCAUAAGUCCAUUGACAAUGGGCGUUGAAAAGAACCAUGCAUGCCCCAACCAUUGUAUCCUUUUUCGUGGUAAACCGUUCGAAGGUCUGGAUAAAUGUCCUCGUUGUGGGGCAAGUCGGUACAAGGACAAUGACCUUUACAGUGGUAGAGAAGCCUCCACCGGGAACAAGAGGAAUAAGAAGGGUUCCAAAAAGGUGGUACAAGAAUCUCGACCUCUAGAGGACACCCCAUUAGGCAACAACACAAAGAAGAGAAAAAUUCCUACCUUGGUAAUGUGGUAUCUGCUAGUGACCGACCACUUGAGGCGUAUUUUCCUGAACCCUAAGGAAGCCGCGCUCAUGACAUGGUGGGACGAUGAGCGCAAGGUCGAUGACAAUGUGAUUGCACACCCGACCGAUAGCAGUCAGUGGCAGGACUUCGAUAAUAACAACCCACUGUUUAGUUCGGACCCAAGAAAUGUACGGUUUGCCUUGAGCACCGAUGGAAUGAAUCCCUUCAACGAGAGGAUGAGCAACCAUAGCACUUAGCCAGUGAUCUUGACCAUGUACAACAUCCCAAUGUGGUUGUGUCGGAAGAGAAAACAUAUUUUCCUCACUAUUCUUGUUUCUAGCCCUCAGCAACCAGGCUUUGAUAUGGACGUGUUCCUCGAGCCUGUGAUGGAAGAAUUCAAGAAACUAUGGAGGACAGGGGAGCUGAUGUAUGAUGCAUUCCAAAAGGAGACCUUCACAUUAAGAGCAAUAAUAUUUGUGACUAUCAACGACCACCCUACGUUGUUUGCCGUGUCUGGACAAAUCAAAGGCAAGAUGGGAUGCUUAGUCUGUCUGAAUGAUACUAAAUGGGUGUACCUAGAUGGAUCUAAGAAGACUGUUUACAUCAGGAAUCGUCACUUUUUAAAGCAAGGUCACAAGUACCGCAGCAAACUGUACUUAAAGUAUUUUGGCAACAUCCCAGAGGAUGAAGAUCGACCUCCGGAGAGAUGUCAUGAUGGACAAUAUGUGUUCCAAAUGGUGAAAAUAUAAGCCUCAUCUAUGGAAAGAAGAAAAUGGAUGGAACACCUAGAGAUAGAAGCACACCUCCAAUUGAAGGCAUGCCUUUUAAGAAAAAGUCAAUCUUCUUUCAGUAUCUUGAAUAUUGGCCACAAUUGGAGGUCCCCCAUGCCAUUGAUGCUAUGCAUGUGCAGAAGAAUGUCUUUGAGAGUCUCAUCGCUACCUUGAUGCACACACCGAAGUCAAAGGAUAGUCUCAAAGCAAGGAGAGACAUGGAGCAGCUACAUGUGAUGCUAGAGCUUCACCCGGUACUUGAGACAAAAACUGGAAAAUACACCCUACCCGCGGCUAGCUACAACCUAUACCUAGAAUAGAGGAGAGGUUUAUGCACUUCUGUGAAGGGGAUCAAAGUCCCGACUGGGUUUUCAGCAAACCCGAAGAAUCUAGUGUCGAUGAAGGACCUGUCAUUUCCACAUUGCAAGGCUCAUGAUUGUCAUAUGAUGCUGACGGUGUUCCUACCAAUCGUAAUAAGGGCUAUCAAGCCAGAGUUUUUGAAGAUGGCUAUCACCCGCAUGUGCUACUUCUGGUCGAAGAUCUCACAGAAGAAGAUUAGCAAGACAGAGCUGAGUGACCUACAAGAUUUGGUCUUAGAGACCCAAAACCAACUAGAGAUGUGUGAAAGCCCUAGUUUGGUUUUGGAUAAUUGAUGAAACCCUUGUACUAACCUCUAUACUAAGUAUGUGUGUAGACUUAAUGAGGUUGGUACAUGCCAAGUGAUGGAGCAAGUGAUGAUCAUGGUGAUGACCACAAGAUGAUAAAGUGCUCAACUUGGAAAAGAAGAAAGAGAAAAACAAAACCCUAUGGAGAUCAAGGCAAAGGUAUUGCUUAGGGUUUUGGUUUUGGUGAUCAAGACACUUGUUGACGGUCCUUAAGUAUCAAAUUUAAUUAUCAAAUAAAUAAAGAAAAGGAUCCAAAUGAAAUCAACAUCUAGAUUUAGGGUUUUAUCUGACAGAAUUCCACGAGUUUUGGUGUUUGUCUAUUUCUGCAGGGGGUUAUCAGGAAAUACGGAAUAAAGGCCCACACGUCGGGAUUACAUAGAGAUAUUAACGUGCCGCGCAAUUAUCUUACAUCUAGAAGACUCCAGAAGCCACGAGACUGAAGCGGAGGCGAAACGGGGCCAGAGGCAGGGCGCCCGCCCUCCUGCCCUGGGCGCCUGCCCCCUCUAGGAGUCCAAUCAGGACUCUGCUUCGCGGGAGAUCUCCACCGACCUAAAGGUUGAAUCUAAACCAUACAAUCUAUGUCGGUUUGAUCCAACGGCCCAUAUUCACUUGAAGGGACUAUAAAACUAGACCCCCUGGCCCCGGGAGGAGAGAGCCUCUCAACCCUAAUUCAUUAUUCCUCAAGGGAGAAGAAGCCUCUGAUCAAGAUUAGAGCCACCACAUCAAUUAGAUAUCUAGAUUAGCAUAGCUACAUAGGAUUAGAACUAGAAGGAGUCAAUCUUCGAUUGGUUUCCGGAUCUGUCAAGAGGAUUCUUGGUAAUUCUCUAAUUGUGCUUCUAAUUGCUUUCUAAUUAUCUUUGUUCUUCAAUAUUAUGAAUAUGACUUUGUUCUACUUCAAUAUAUUGCUUAUGACUUUGCUCUACUUGCUUAUAUUCAAGAUUAUAUUGUUCUUAGUUUAUCAUAGUUAUGUACUUGGCUUAGUUAGAUUGGAUCUAUAUACAUGCUUAGGAUCGUAUAGCGUUUAUCCAUCGGAUCCAUGGGUAAAUGAUAGAUAUUGUGUAGACGUGGUGCUUAUACCGUAUUUAUCUGCGAUUGUACCCAAUAUGCCAGAUCGUGGGGUGGUUCGUGAUAGUGACAGCUUCAUUGAUUCUUAUAUAGUCCCCCUCUCGUGUAUUGGGCUGGCAGAGCAACAUUAUUACAGGGGAGUGAUUGCUAUGUUUCUCAUAUUCCUUGCUAAUAUCACUAUGCAUGGGCGUAGUCUUAUCUCGCAAUGAUUGCUAAGUAUGCUUGCACUAACUAUGAUAAUGCUAGACUAUAUAGUUGAGAAUAACUUAGGGAAUAUUCUUGUAGUUCGUUCUAAUACCAUGCUAAUGACUCUCUAGAGUAUCUAAUUGAGGUGCUUAUCAUAUUUAUUAUGUGGCUAGAUCAGAUUAAUUAUCCUUGUCACUAUUCAUUAUUUCAUAUAUCUUUUAUGUGACACUUAUCCCUGUAUGAUGAGUUAGAUAUAAUGUUCUCAAUUAUACAUGCAAUGGUAGAUGCUCAAUCUCAUAUUCUAUUUUGUAAUCAAUAGUGAUGAUUGCUAAUCCCUUCCCAAUGGUAAAAAUAUAAAUAACGAUACCUGGAAUACUUCCCGGUUAAAAUGCUGCAUUGGUAUUAAUCUGUGCGCUUGCAGAUCCCAUUCAUUAUUUAUUUAGAAGAGCAAUUGCAUAUUUCAAUACCGCGUCUCAUAUAUCAUGCUGGGGAUGACAACUUGGCUUAAGUGGUGUGAGGGAUAGGUUUGGCAUUUUUGGCACCGUUACUAGAUUUAGAGAACUUAGUCUACUUUUGGUAAUGAUGUUAAGAAUUCCCAACAAGCAUUUUUGGCGCCGUUGCCGGGGAAGGUUGAUUACUAAUCAGGAAUAGAAUAAAAGAUUUUGAGUUAUCAUUCGCAUCACUAAUAUGAUUGAGCUUAUCUAUUCUCUCAUACAGUUUUACCCCGAUAUUUUCCUAUUUCAUCUUAUGCAGGGGAAUGUAUGAAUAGAAGACAUCUUCCAGGAAAUUUUGUUGACAAUCCCGAAGCAUUAUUCAAGAAGACGAGAGCCAAGCUAAAGAAAUCAUCAACACUUCAGCAAGAAGCUUCAUCCAAUCAAGAAGAUCACUGGAACUUGUCUUCAGAGUUCGAAGCCAUGGCAAACAAAUCAAUCCGCGAGUUCUCAGCUCCCACUACGGACAACAUCCGCACUAGACCUGCUGCAGAGAUUGAUGGCAACUUUGAGCUCAAGCCUGGACUUAUCAACAUGGUGCAAUCCAACCAGUUCUGUGGGAAGGCACACGAAGAUGCUAGUGCUCAUUUACAACACUUCCUGGAGAUUUGCAACACAUUCACCGUAUCAAGAGUUCCCAAAGAUGCUAUACUACUUUGCCUCUUCCCAUUCUCACUGUUAGGAAGAGCGAAGCAGUGGUUCUACGCUACAAAGGAGAAGAAUACUACGUGGGCACUCUGCUCAACAAACUUCCUGGCUAAGUUCUUUCCCAUGGGCAGGACCAAUGCUCUCCGUGGGAAGAUUACAAGUUUUCAGCAACAAAAUGAUGAAUCUGUUCCAGAAGCAUCGGAGCGCUUUCAAGACUACAUCCUAGAAUGUCCACAUCAUGGAAUGGAGAGUUGGCUAUUGAUGCAGACGUUUUAUCAUGGGCUCGGCAACAGUGCCCGAGAGACCAUGGAUGCUGCAGCUGGAGGAGCAUUUUUAUCACUUACUAUACCACAAGCCACAGCUCUUGUGGAGAAGAUGGCGUCCAAUCAAAGCUGGAAUGAAGAGAGGACCCAGACACGCAAGAGAGGUGGAGGUAUGCAUCAGCUGAAGGAGGUAGACAUGCUGUCUGCAAAGCUAGACCUGCUCAUGAAGAAGCUCGACGAUAGAGCUGGAGAUAAGAAAGAAGUUAUGCACAUCUACGACUCUCACAUGACUUGUGAGGAGUGUGGAGACACUGGACACUCAGGCAACCACUGCCCUGAGAUACUUGAGGAUGUGAACUACAUCAACAACAACAACAACAACAACUACUACAACCGUCCUCAACAAAAUCAAGGUUGGAAUCAACAGAGGCCUAACUACUCAGGUAAUUAUCAAGGUAACAAUUCUUACAACAACAAUAAUAAUUUUCCACCUUUGAGAGAGUUGGUGUCUAAUCAAGGAAAGCUAAUGGAUAACCUAUCUAAGAAAUUGGCAUCUAAUGAUAAAAUGCUAGAAAAUAUAAAUAAUAGAAUGGAUAAUUUCUCUACGGCCAUCAAGAAUCAAAUUAGCUUUAAUAAAAUGAUUGAAUCUCAGUUAAAUCAAAUAGCUGCUGCUGUUCCUACUACUAACCCCGGUAUACCAUCACAACCGGAAGGAUUAGAUUUUGCAAAUCUUGUAGACACGUUUGAUGCAGGUAAUUGGAGUAACCCCGUCAAUGAAUUCUCUACUCACCUUCUGCCGGUCAAGAGAGGCGAUCCAGGACGCCCCGUCAUCCCGAUCUCUAUCGGCAUGGUGGACGUUCCAGAAGCACUCUGCGACUUUGGCUCCAGUGUCAACAUUAUACCCAGGGUACUCUAUGAAAAAUUCUUUUCAUAUCCUUUAUUAGAAACAACCAUGUGUUUGCAGUUUGCAGAUCAGACGAUAACUUUUCCAAAGGGAAUAUUGAAGAACCUUUGUGUCCGAGUUGGUACCUUAUAUGCCCUAGCAGACUUCGUAGUGGUAGAGACCGGAAAUGAUGAGAGAGCACCUAUCAUCUUAGGGAGGCCAUGCUUGAAUACCACGGGAGCUAUCAUCUACGCUAGAGCUGCCAAGAUCAGUUUCUACAUCAAAGGGAGGAAGGAGAUAUUUUUCUUCAAGAACAAGACUACACAAAUUCCAGAUCAAUCCAGACGUGAAUCAAGGAAGAGGACCAACAGGAGGAACAGGAACAAGCAAGUGUGGACCGAGUCAGCUAAGAUGGUCACUGUAGUUCAUGGAGGCCAAGAUCACCAACUUAAGUCACCGCUUUUGACCAAGAAGGACGACCCAGGAAUGCCAAGCAUUUACUGCUCCAUAAAUGGAUACAACUUCUACAAGACAUUUUGUGACACCGGAUCGGGCGUCAACAUAAUGGCCGCAGUCACUUAUCGGCUCUUGUUCGGGACCAUGCCACUAAGACCAACAUACAUUCAGCUCCAGAUGGCAGAUCAGACAUUUCGAGAAGUUAAAGGAAUAGUAACUGAUGUCCCAGUCAAAAUAGACGAUCACUUUGUCUACACAGACUUUCAAGUUAUUGACAUGGGAGAAGAUGAGUAUGAUCCACCCAUCAUCCUUGGAAGACCGUUCCUCAGCACCGUUAAAGCAAUUAUCUACAUUGGAACCGGAGAAGUCCAUAUGCACUUCCCCUCAGAGAAGGUACGCCGUUAUUUUACUGACCCUAACUAUAUCGUUGAAGAAUCUAAGCAUGUAAGAAAACGACGCAACCGCAACCAGAGGAGGCAGAUCAUCAAGGACGGAUGGGCAGACUAUGAAGGAGAAGUUGUAAGGUCAGAAGACGUAGAGUUUAAACAUAAUUAUCCAGAGGAGACUGAAGCACCAAGUCAGGUGUGGAAAAUGAAGAUAACUAUACACGAAGAGGAGGCGCUGCCAGAAGUACCGACUACGCCACCCAACGAACCUCAGGACAAUUGAGAAAAUGGAGAGUCCCGUUCGGAGGACUUAAAAACACCGAACGCCUUGCCAAGAGGUAAACUUGGUAGUUAUCUUUUCCCUUUCAAAUUAUUUUAAAUAGUUCACUUAGUUAAUCAUAUUCAUACUAUCUUAAAAAUAAAAGAAAAUAAAAAUGUGAAAAACAGUAAGCCCUAUGUGAGUAUACGAGUGGCAUAAAACCCAUAAGUACAUUCACUGUGGUGGCAUAAAAAUAAAAUAAAUAUUUUUCUGCUUUAUAAAAUGAAAAUAUAAAAAAACAGGGAGUAAUAAUUAUUAAGGAGUCUCAAGAUAAUAAAGGCUAGAUAUUUAUGCUAACACUUAAUCAGUUCCACAAGCUUUGUUGUCUAUUUGAGCUCCACAGAAUUUAAGAGUCAAGAAGACUAGCAGACGGAGGACAUUCUAAUCGCUGUCAGAAUGCUGCUGACUUUCAAAUACACCUCUGCCACCUGCUAGCUACAUCAAGAGAAAUUACGUCAAAAUUCAGCUUGGGGGAGAGCACCCCCAUUUAUCUCGAUAAGUAUUUCUAUCUAUCUAUCUUUAUACUCAUAUUAUCUUAGAAUAUAAAUAUACAUAACUAUGAAAAAACCAAAUAAAGAUUUUAUGCUUAUUUAUAUAUCUUUUGCUUAGUGUGUUUAAUAAAUAAAUAAAGUGGCUAUGCUAAUCUGUAUCUAAAUAAAAAUUAAGCAUGGAUAUGAUGAAUAGUUGCUCUGCCUAAUUUGCACAUUUUAAGUUCUCUCUCAAGUUUAGAUAUAACUGUUAUAAUUUAAAACUUGCUCUAGACCUAAACUUGUGGGAUGAAAACUUGAUCUGAAGUCUAAGUUGUUAACGGAUACGAUAUGGGAAGGUUGAGCUGCUGUUUAUCUGUUCCUAGAGAUGCUAGAAUUCUGGAGAAUUUUAUCUUUGAAAAUCUUUUAAAAUGUUGCAUGAUGAGUUCCUGUAUGAUGAGAGUUUAAAUUCCUACCACAGCCAUAUAUACAUGCUUGCUAGACUUUGAGCCACACAUUUACUAUUUACUGCUUAUGAGCAUUGAGUGUGGUCAAGCUGUGUAGACACUUAGGAACUUGUCAUGUGGUUAAAUCAAGAUUUCACUUGCACGUUCACUCAUAUAUGCUACUUCUACUCCAGAAGUACCAUCCACAUAUAUCCAUCCAUUUCCAUCUCCAGAACCACCUAAAAAUAUUCUACUCCUAAUCCAGGAGAGAAUAACCAAAAAUAUUUUUGUUUUUCCUUGUGAAAUAAAUGCUCAAGUUAUCUUGUUACUACCACUUGCUAUAUUAUCUCAUGAGAUGAGUGCUUUCUAAAAAAAAGAGAAAUACGAGGAAAUAAAAAGGAGCAAGUGCUCGAAACCUCGAAAGAAAAGAAAAAGUGAGACGAGAGGUAAAAAUGGACAAGUGUCCGACAGUAGAAUUAGUGGUGCAAGAUACCCACCUGAGAGAAAAGAAAAAGAAGAGCAUCUCAUUCUCCUCAUAAAGUUUCAAAAAAGCAAGGAAGGUAUGUAUCCCCUCAAAGAGCAAAGUAGAAUUAGACUUCCACCACCAUUGUUUUCACCAUUGUUAUCACCAUCAUCACCAUACAUCAUUCAUUCGCCACACAUGCACAUCUUGAUUAAACUCAUUGGCUUGUUUCUUUGGAUCCAUGGUUUGACUAUGCAAUACAUGUCUUGUAAGUAUGUAUACUUUAUUUCCCACCUAUGAGCUCCAGAUAUUAAAGCCUUAUUAGAGUAGGAUGAGAGAGAAGGCAAUGUCACUAUGCCUUAUACCACAAAUACCACAUAUCUUGAGAGAAGGCAUAUACCAUCACUGCCUUGGUAAGGAUCCAGAAAUACCACAAAAGAGAGACCUGAGAGAAUCAUACAAGGAAUCUCUGAGUUUUAUUUGAAAAUCUGCAAAAACCCCAGAGCUAUAGCUGAUCAAGAAUAAGAGACAUGGCACUUGACUAGACUGUUCUAUCUUUUAACCUCUCAAGACAGAAGUGACAGUUACAAGCCCAUAGUGACGGUAAAGUAAGUAAGUUUUAAGUCUUGACAGUUUACUCUAGCUUAGAGAUGAGAUCUUAUUUAAAAAGCAUGUGUACCGUCAAUUUUUAAAUAUAUUGCAAUAACUUAUGAUCCAUAGCUGAGUCUAUCCUUGCUCAGGGACGAGCAAGAGGUAAGCUUGGGGGAGUUUGUUGACGGUCCUUAAGUAUCAAAUUUAAUUAUCAAAUAAAUAAAGAAAAGGAUCCAAAUGAAAUCAACAUCUAGAUUUAGGGUUUUAUCUGACAGAAUUCCACAAGUUUUGGUGUUUGUCUAUUUCUGCAGGGGGUUAUCAGGAAAUACGGAAGAAAGGCCCACACGUCGGGAUUACAUAGAGAUAUUAACGUGCCGCGCAAUUAUCUUACAUCUAGAAGACUCCAGAAGCCACGAGACCGAAGCGGAGGCGAAACGGGGCCAGAGGCAGGGCGCCCGCCCUCCUGCCCUGGGCGCCCGCCCCCUCUGGGAGUCCAAUCAGGACUCUGCUUCGCGGGAGAUCUCCACCGACCUAAAGGAUGAAUCUAAACCAUACAAUCUAUGUCGGUUUGAUCCAACGGCCCAUAUUCACUUGAAGGGACUAUAAAACCAGACCCCCUGGCCCCUGGAGGAGAGAGCCUCUCAACCCUAAUUCAUUAUUCCUCAAGGGAGAAGAAGCCUCUGAUCAAGAUUAGAGCCACCACAUCAAUUAGAUAUCUAGAUUAGCAUAGCUACAUAGGAUUAGAACUAGAAGGGGUCAAUCUUCGAUUGGUUUCCGGAUCUGUCAAGAGGAUUCUUGGAAAUUCUCUAAUUGUGCUUCUAAUUGCUUUCUAAUUAUCUUUGUUCUUCAAUAUUAUGAAUAUGACUUUGUUCUACUUCAAUAUAUUGCUUAUGACUUUGCUCUACUUGCUUAUAUUCAAGAUUAUAUUGUUCUUAGUUUAUCAUAGUUAUGUACUUGGCUUAGUUAGAUUGGAUCUAUAUACAUGCUUAGGAUCGUAUAGCGUUUAUCCAUCGGAUCCAUGGGUAAAUGAUAGAUAUUGUGUAGGCGUGGUGCUUAUACCGUAUUUAUCUGCGAUUGUACCCAAUAUGCCAGAUCGUGGGGUGGUUCGUGAUAGUGACAGCUUCAUUGAUUCUUAUAUAGUCCCCCUCUCGUGUAUUGGGCUGGCAGAGCAACAUUAUUACAGGGGAGUGAUUGCUAUGUUUCUCAUAUUCCUUGCUAAUAUCACUAUGCAUGGGCGUAGUCUUAUGUCGCAAUGAUUGCUAAGUAUGCUUGCACUAACUAUGAUAAUGCUAGACUAUAUAGUUGAGAAUAACUUAGGGAAUAUUCUUGUAGUUCGUUCUAAUACCAUGCUAAUGACUUUCUAGAGUAUCUAAUUGAGGUGCUUAUCAUAUUUAUUAUGUGGCUAGAUCAGAUUAAUUAUCCUUGUCACUAUUCAUUAUUUCAUAUAUCUUUUAUGUGACACUUAUCCCUGUAUGAUGAGUUAGAUAUAAUGUUCUCAAUUAUACAUGUAAUGAUAGAUGCUCAAUCUCAUAUUCUAUUCUGUAAUCAAAAGUGAUGAUUGCUAAUCCCUUCACAGUGGUAAAAAUAUAAAUAACGAUACCUGGAAUACUUCCCGGUUAAAAUGCUGCAUCGGUAUUAAUCUGUGCGCUUGCAGAUCCCAUUCAUUAUUUAUUUAGAAGAGCAAUUGCAUAUUUCAAUACCGCGUCUCUUAUAUCAUGCUGGGGAUGACAACUUGGCUUAAGUGGUGUGAGGGAUAGGUUUGGCAUUUUUGGCACCGUUACUAGAUUUAGAGAACUUAGUCUACUUUUGGUAAUGAUGUUAAGAAUACCCAACAACACCAUAGAGGGUGUGAUCACAUUUAGGAUAGAUAGCCGUACUAUAAAGAGGGGAAUUCUUUGGCUAAGCGGUUAUCAAGUGCCACUAGGUGUCAUUGUUCAUGUGCAUGCAUUUAGAACCUAGUGAGCUAACUUAACUCCUUCGAAGAAAAUAAUUGUGAAAAUGCUAACACACGUGCACAUGUUGGUUUACACAUUGUGGUGUUGUCUCACUUUGAGAAGGAGGUGGAGUUUGAUGGGUAGAGAGGGUUUGGGUUUAGGGUUCGGCGCUUUUGAGAAAAUAAAGUGCAUAUUUUCUAUUGCGCCGGUGGGAACUUUGGAGAAGUUGCGGGACUGUUCCUCGCUAAGAAACACUCACCGGACGCUGGUCAUUGACUUCUACGUCCAGUGCUAUCUGACUUCUGCGAGUAAACCUAUCUGGAAGCACCGGACGCUCAGGGAGUGUCCGGUGGUGUGCGUCCGGUGACCUACGCGUUUUGCAGACCUCCCUGAGUUUAAGACCGGUGCAAACUUAAGUGCGUCUGGUGCUCUGCAUGUGACCGUUAGAGAUCAACGCACGAAAGUGAAAAAGGCAACACGUGGCAGUUUUCAGGGCACUGGACGCAGGGCUUGAGCGUCCGGUGGUUCCCUGCGGUGCGUCCGGUGACCCCGUUUUUCGCCCAGUGAAAGAGCCAACGGCUCUUUUUAUUUGAGGGGUCUAUAAAUACGUGUUUGGCCGGCUUGGGGCUCACUCUCUUGGUAUUCUUGACUACUAUACAUCCUUGUGAGCCUAAGCAAACACCUCCCACUCAUCUUCUUCAUAGAUUAUUCAUCUUUGUGAGAUUGGGAGUGUUUCCAAGUGUAUUUGCUUGACUGAUUGCAUCUAGUGGCACUUGGGGAUCGUUCUAGCUGCGGUUUUCUUGUUACUCUUGGUGGUUGCCGCCACCUAGACAGCCUGGAGCAGCGGAGGAGGAUUGGCACGAGUUGGUGAUUGUUCGUGGCCAUCUCCUAGUGAUUGUGAGGGGUCUUGUACCUUCCCCGGCAGAGAGCCGAAAGGUAACUCUAGUAAAGUGCUCAUGUCAUUGAGUUACCUCACUUGUGGGUAGGUUCUUGUGGUGUCCUAGUGAGGACGAGGUUCAUGCUACACCUCUUAGCCACCGAACCACCAUGUGUUGGUCGACACAACGUGGACAUAGCGUUCCGGCAAGCACGUGAACCUCGAGAGAAAAAUUAGUGUCUCAAUUGUGUUUGAUUGACAUUCUCCCGGUGCUUGAUUGUUUAUAUUAGUGAUUGGUUCAUCCCCUUCACGGCGGUAUAAAUAUCUCAUCCUAUCUUUACUUACAGCAAAGUAGUGUAAUUAGUUUAAUUACUUACUUUGACUUGUGUAGCUUAGUUCACUUGUGUCCCUUGUAGAGACUUAGUUCUUGUGUGCAUAGUGAUCAUAGCAACUAGAUUUGUUGGGUAGGUGGCUUGCAUUCACCCCUUUAGAGCUAGAGGAAGAAGCUUCGCUUUGUUAUUUACUAACUACUUGCUCUAGUGAUUUUGUAGAAUUUUUAAAUAGGCUAUUCACCGCCCCUCUAGCCAUAUUAGGACCUUUCAAUGUGUUUACCUCCCGCUUUCUUCGACCCUAUGGUACAUCUCAUGAUUCACAUGGUUCAUCAGAUACAGGUGUUGGGCCCUUGCUACUUGCAUGAAAUGUGGUCGUAUGAGCGGUUCAUGUCGGUUCUAAGCCAAUACGUGCAUAAUCGUGCAUACCCAGAGGGCUCUAUGAUAGAGGGCUACAACAGUGAAGAAGUCAUCGAGUGCUAUCAAGAGUACCUAAAAGUACAGAGAGGGAUUGGUAUUCCUGAUUGUCACUACAAGGGUAGGCUGGCUGGGAAGGGCACAAAUGGUAGAAAAAUCUUCAUCGACAAUGAAUACACAGAAGUGAGCCGGGCGCACUACGCUGUCUUAGUGAGCACAAAACUGAUGGAACCAUAUAUUGAUGAACACAUAGAGAUCAUCCAAUCAGAGAGAAAUGGUCGUACAGGUGAUUGGGUCAUGAAACAACACAAGCAACGCUUAACUUCAUGGUUGAAGGACCAAAACAUAUAGCCUGGAGAAACCAUAGAUUCUAUUACCAUCAGUAAGUUGGCUGCGGGGCCAUCAAGACAGGUGACAUCUUGGAGUUCUUAUGAGAUCAAUGGGUACACAUACUAUACCCACGCAAAGGAUAGUAAAUGUGUGAACCAAAACAGUGGUGUUCGAGCAGUGGCUAUCGGCGCAGGGGGUAAAAGAUCGACUACUUUGGCAUAAUUGAAGAUAUAUGGGAACUUGACUAUGGAACUGAGGCACUAAAUGUGGCCCUAUUUCGAUGUCGCUGGAUCAAGCAACAUGAAUUCAAUGAAAACCGAUUGAGGUUCGUGGACCUUCAGAACAUAGGCUACCAGGAUGAUCCAUGGGUCCUUGCUUCACAUGUUACAUAGGUUUUCUAUAUGACCGACCCGCUCAGCAUUGUCCCCCCAAAGAAGAAACCUAAGCAUGUGGUUAUCCCUAGAAAACAACACAUUAUCGGAGUUGAUGGCGUUGAUGAUGUUGAAGCCUACAAUAAGUGCGAUCAGAUGCUGCUAUUCCCAGACUUUAUUAACAAGAUCGUUGUUGUGGAAAAAAACCUACUCAAAGACGUAUUGCCAUGGGAACAAAAAGGUGUGAAGUGGAAAACUGUUACAGCGUCGGAUACUAAUAAAUAGUCAUAUGUAUGUGUGUGAGACUACAUUUAUGUAUGCAUGUGAGACUACAUUUAUGUAUGUGUGUGAGACUACAUUUAUGUAUGUGUGUGAGACUACAUUUAUGUAUGCGUGUGAGACUACAUUUAUGUAUGUGUGUGAGACUACAUUUAUGUAUGCAUGUGUGACUACAUUUAUGUAUGCGUGUGAGACUACAUUUAUGUAUGUGAUUUAGAACUGCACUUUCUUAACGCUAUGUCAAAUGCACAAAUGUCCAAUAUAUCAAAUGUAGAUCUUGAUGAGUGGAACAAACUUGCUAUUCAUGACUUUCGGAGUUGGGGCCGUCUAGGGUCCCGAAAACGUGCGUGGAGCCGUAAAAAUUUAAAAUUUCAAAAUUUUAGUGGUCCAAACCAUCUCAGAUGAAAAGUUGACCAUUACACCAAAUGUGUAUCUUGAUAAGGGGAACAGACUUUGUAUUCAUGACUUUUGCAUCUGAGACCAUCUUGGGUCCGGUCAAAGUGUAUUUUGUGAAAAAUCUAAUGUUUGACUUGGUCAAACUAGGUCAAACUAGGCAAUAAAAGACCUCAAAUGAAAAAAUUUGAAUACAACAUUUGGAAAAGUUUCGGUUAACUCAGUUCACAUGUUUUGAAAACCCAAGGCGUGACUAGGUCAAACCUGGUCAAACGAGGGAGUAAAUGACCUCAAAUGAAAAACUUUUGAAUACAAGGUAGUUAGAGCACAUCAAGAUACACAUUCCAUACAUAGGACAUUUUUGCAUUUGAGUAAGCGUUUGUAAACUCUAGUCACAAAGUCUUGAAUCAUACAUAGACUUUAUGAAACUACAUGCGGGACUUGUGGAUUUAGAACUGUACUUUCGUAACGCUUUAUCAAAUGCAAAAAUGUCCUAUAUAUCAAAUUUAGAUCUUGAUAAGUGGAACAAACUUGCUAUUCAUGACUUUCACAGUUGGGGUCGUCUAGGGUCCCGAAAGCGUGCGUGUAGCCGUGAAAAUUUGAAAUUUCAAAAUUUAAGUGGUCCAAACCAUCUCACAUGAAAAGUUGACCAUUACACCAAAUGUGUAUCUUGAUAAGGGGAACAAACUUUGUAUUCAUGACUUUUGCAUCUGAGGCCAUCUCGGGUCCGGUCAAAGUGUAUUUUCUGAAAAAUCCAAUGUUUGACUUGACCAAACUAGGCAAUAAAGAAUAAACUUUGCAUUUAUAUAUAUAAAUUAAUCAUAAAAAUGUUUGAAAUAAUUCAAAAUUAUUACAUAUUAGGUCAAAUGAGGCACUAAAGAAUUUUUAAAUUUACACAAAUCUAUUUUUUAGUUCCAAAAAAAUUUAGUUUGAAAUUAUAUAAUGUAUAUAAAUUAAAUAUAAAAUACUUGGAAUAGUUUGAAAUUAUAUAAUAUAUAUAAAUUAAAUAUAAAAAUACAUGGAAUAAAUUAAUUUAUUAUAUAAAUAUAUUUUGAACUUUAAGUAUAUUAAAAAAAUGAUUUUACAUUUGAAGAAAACCACAGUAAGGGCGGUUCACAUCUCAACCGCCCUUAUAGUGGGGCUGCCCUCCAUAAAAGGAACCUCUGUUCCCAGCGCCUAAGUCAGGACGUUCACAUUCACAGUUGGGCGCCGUCAGGCUGCCCGAAUCCCCCCCCCGAUCCGAUGGGAACCCUAGCCGCCGCUGGUGCCCGUGCAACGCCACCACUCUCCUCCCCGAGCUCUCCUCCCCCUCCCCUUCGCCGGUGCCUGUGCCACGCCACCACUUUGCUGUCGGUCGCCCAGUCGGAACCCUAGCCGCCGCCGGGAGCCAGAUCUGCGCACGGCCGCCCGCCCGAGCGUGCCUCCACGAGCUCUGCGAGUCUGGCCGAGGACCUCCGUCGUCCACGAGCUCUUCUUCCGCGAGCUCGGCGACCUGCUUCCAUCCGUGUGCCGUGCGCUCCGCCCUGUUAGAACCCUAGACGUCACCGAGCGCCGAAGCUCCACGCGCGACCGCCCGCCUGUCGGCGAGCCCAGGCACUCCACCUGCUAGGAACCCUAGGCGCCCCCCAUCCGCGACUUUCUCUCCUUUUCCUCCAAAGGUACCAGACUUUCUCUCCUUCUCUUUUUUCUAUGCUAUAUGUCGUUUGGAAAUUCUAUAGCAAUUAGCAGGUUUGUAACUUGAAUAUAUAGCUGAUACUCGCUAUACUCGGAUGCACUAUGGAUGUUCUUCUCCAAUUUGAGUUUUUUCUGGUAGUGGCAGUGGCAUGCAUGCUGUAGUGUUUUCUGCAGUACAUGGAUUGAUAGUGCAAACAUGUGGAUUGAUAGUGCAACCAUCUAAAUUAUCUUAUUCUUAUGCAAUUAUGCUACAUUCUUGACUGUUCUCCCUCUUGACUAGUACUUGCUGUCUGCUACACAUUCUUUUUCUUCUUUGAUACAGUCAUUGUGCCUUACUAUCUCUAUGAACUAAAAAUGAAUAGUAUGAUAAACAAAGAUAGUCCAAAUUGUAAAAUCUAUUGGUCAACCCGUGCCACUAUAGAUUUAUCUUCAUUCUUCUACUACGUGUUUUUGUUGUUUCGUUUUUAGCUAUUAUUCCAUAGCCUAAAUAAAAGCAAGUUGAAAGCAGCUGUGGUUAAUUUUAGUUGUUGGUUGAAAUUAAGGGCUAUAUAAUCUGUGUUUUGGUUGAAAGCAUCUACGGUUAAUUUUAAUUGCUAAUAGCUAUCUAUUCGUUCUGUCUAAUUUCUAUCUGAGAGAUUUGAUGAUCUGGUUAGUGUUAGGGUUUUUAUUAGUGUGUAUUGUUGAUAGACUGUGUUUUGAGAUAUUGUACAUGGACAGUUGGAUAGCUUCACCGACUGUUUCCUGUUUCAACUAAGCACACCUGAGCUGUUUGACACCGUGAAUGCAACAUGCAUCAUUAACACUGAAUUUUUUUAGCUACUUAAUGCAAUGAUGUUAGUUUAGAACUAGUAGUGUUUGUGUUUGCUCGAUUUUAGUUCUAGAUAGCUUACUGUCCAAUUGUGUUGAUUUGUGGUGGCUUACUGUCAUUUUGAUUUGUGGCUUACUGUAAUCCUACUACUACUGCUUUUGUACUACAACUGUACUACUACUCUCUCUAUGACAGUUUUAUAUACUGAGACAUAAUUACUGUUGUUUAUAUUGCAGACUGCUUAUAUGCCACUCCUCUCUACUACUACUACUACUCUACUGUUGUGGUGGCUUACUAGCAUAAUUUUGAAUUGAUGACAUUUUUUGAACUGUGCUCCUCUAUACUACUACUAUACUCUCUCUCCUCUACUAUUGUUUUGCCGAUGAUGAAAUUGUCUAAUUCAAUACAUUAUUUUAGAAUAUGAGCUGACGAUCCAAAACUUAUGAGUAACUUGGCAUCAUUACUAGCUGCCUCUAUAGUGCCUUCUUCUCUGUUUUGAUGCCUUCAUGCUCCAAGUUCUUGAUCAAAUGAUGCUUGACAUGUUUCUGAGGCCUUUUUCAAACCUUUCCCUUUCAUCACCUCUCCUUCCUCUCUGCUCCUUCUAUCUCUCUUCUCUUUUCUACUCUCAUCCUCUCUCCAACACUACUGCACUAGUCUACUACUAGUGCUAGCUACUGCUCUACUCUAGUACUCUACUAGUACUACAUUACUAUUGGGGCUUACUGUAAUCCUACUACUACUACUGUUGUGCUCCAACUCUACUACUACCCUCUCUAUGACAGUUUUAUAAAUUGUGCUAUUCUAUACUACUACUCUUCUCCUCUCCUACUACUUCUAUGAUUUUUCUUCUCUCCUUUAUUUUGCCGAUGAUGAGAUUGUCUAAGUCCAUUCAUUAUAUGGAAUAUGAGCUGAUGAUCAAGAACUUGUGAGGAACUUGGCAUUGUUACCAGCGGCCCCUAUAUCACCUCUUCUUCUCUAUUACGAUCCCUUUAUGCUCCAAGUUCAUGAUCAAAUGAUAAUUGACAUGGUACUGAGGCCUUUACUACUUGUACUAAUUGUUUUUUUAAAAUUUCUUGCUCGAUGAUACAAAAGGUGUAGUGAGACAGCAUGACAGUCAAAUACCCAUAGCUUCUCCUAGACGGAAAGCUUCUGGGGGAAACUCGUCUCGAAUAGAGUGCCAUUGGAUACUAGCCUCCCCCAGAGGUUUUCGGUCUUGUAGUGCAAAUGGGUUUUCUCUUAACCAUUACUGACUGUCUUGUAAGUCUAUGAUCUAUGAUCACCACAGAGCAGCGGAUGGCUCUAUAAAGCAGCAACCCGCUAAUUGGAGGGCACAUGAGUUUCUUCUUCUUCUACUACUACUACCGAUUACUAAUUUGUCGCCUUUGUCUGUUCUCUCUCCUAUCUUCUCCUCUCUUCUCUGUUUUGAUGCCUUCUUCUCUAUUUUGAUGCCUUGAUGCUCCAAGUUCAUGAUCAAAUGAUGGUAGACAUGUUUUUGAGGCCUUUUUUGAACACUACUACUACUACUACUACAGCACUGCUGCUGCUACUACUACUAAAGCACUGCUGCUACUACUAAAGCACUGCUGCUACUACUAAAGCACUAUUGCUCUCUUCUCCUCUUCUUCAACCUACUACUACUACUACUACUACUACUACUACUACUACUACUACUACUACUACUACUACUAAAGCACACUUUAUUCCUUUCAUCUGUUAGAACAAAUCACGAAAUGACACGGACAACAAGCAAUGCAUCCCGAUCCAACGAACAUGAAGAGCACCCUAGCCCUAGAGAGCAAGAAAUACAUGAUUAGUUUUCUCAGGAACACUUUGAUGAUGAAGUGGGCAAUGGUGUAGCAUUUAUGCUUACUCAUGAGUCUGGCGAGGAGCAAGGGGGAGAAGCGGGAAGAGGAGAGACUCAUAAAGGAUCUAUCAAGGACGAUGACUCAACCUCAGGAUAUGAAAGUCCUAAAGAUCCACACCCAUGUGAACAUAGACGGAAGCCAACAACGGAUGAGUUGGACAUGGACUUUGACCCAAACGAGGAGAUAGGGAUAUGAAAGUCCCUUAGUAAAUCAUAAAUUUUGGUAAUGAUAUGGCUGUGUUACCUCUACUAAAACUUUGACAUGUUGUUUAUACAGGUCCACCCUAAACCUCCAAAAAGACCACAUCGGCGUCCGACAUGUUUCGCCGGACAUGACGGGGCAAGGGAAAGGAGGGCAGAGGCAACAGGCACAGAGACUACCAUUGUGGCCUCUGCUCCACAACCUGAAGGCACAACCUCAGCCUCGACUACCAAAGUGAAAAGGAAAGGAGGGGUCAGAAAACCAAACCACUAUCCAAAUGCAAAAAUGAUUUAUGUGAUUGACGAGGUUGGGGAAGAAGGGCAGAUCCUUAAGCCAAAGGAGUUCCAAUCAAAAUUCCGCAAUGCAAUUGGGGCCCUAGUCAGAGACAAGUUGAACCCAUCAAUCCGUAAUUGGCACGACUAUCUAGAGGACAUAAAGGAUGACCUAUGGAAAAAUCGUCUGUUGGUCAAUUUUAAUUUUAGGAUUCCAGCAGAGAAGCUACCCCUAGUAAGACGACGUGCUAUGAAGAUGAUGGGAGAAUCCUUCCGAUGUUGGAGGAAUGAGCUGAACACCGAGUACAUCAAAAAGGGGUUAACUCUGUACCAUAAGUAUAGACACAUAACUCCUGCUAUCCGGGCAUUGCUCAUGGCUAAGAAGACUGCACCAGAAUCUUUGGCCUUAAGUGAAAAGAACAGCUUGUAGGCGAAGAAGAACAUCCACCACCCUCGUCUAGGCCCCGGUGUCUACGAGGGCAAGGAAGAGAUGUUUAGAAAGAUGGAAGAGGAGGCCGUAGCUGCUGGGAAUACAAAAGUAAUGAAAUUGAAGCCACACACCAAGCGUUGGGUCUUUGCAACGAAUCUGGAAGAUUCAAGUAGCAGUCUGAAAUUUGCUAAGCCAGAGACCGAGGAGGCAGUGUCAAGGAUAAUAAAAUAUUCUGAAGACAUCGAGAAGGGUUCAUUCACUCCUUCUAGAGAGAAGGACGAGCUUAGCCUUGGCUUGGGAAAUCCCGAGCACACAGGUCGUGUUAGAGGGUUAGGGAAACAUAAGACCUGGAAGGAAGGAUUUCGAGAGCAUGUGGAGAUGUACAAGAAACAUGGUAGAAACCGGGAGGAGAGUCUUGCUACCCUAGUGAAGACCCUAGUUGCCUAGGAACUAUAGGAGCAAGGACUGUCUACUGAGCGACGGUCACAAAUGGAGCCGCCUAGGGAUUUGGUUCUAGUUGGCAGCCCUCCGAAUGUUCAAAGCAGCCAAGGUUCCAAUGCAACCUCCGCCUCAGUUGAUCACAUACGGGUGCUAACUCGUUCCAUCCUGUUGAUUCCCAUCGGUAGGGGGCAGGAGAUGGCUGAGGUGGCAACGAGUCUGGCACAUCCUCCAACUCCAGGCGACAUCUAGCACGAUAAACCGGUCCCGGCUGAUUAUAGUAAGGUUGAGGUGCAUACCGUGAAUCUUGAGUACACGAAGCAUAAGAUUGAACACCCAACUAGCGAGGGGAUUCGUGAGCUUGGACUACUCAUGAAACAGUUCAUCCUCUAGUACAAAAAGGAUAUUGUGUUGAUUGUUUCCUCGCCAACUCUGAGUGAUGUACACCUGGAGAUAUUCCACCUUGAGGAUGGAGAGGUGUAUUCACCGUCUCAUGAGGACCACUUGAUGCAUGAGAGGGCACUGGCUUCUCCGACCGCUGGCGAGCAAGGGGUCGAGCCAGGGCAUGAUGAGACGCCACAUGAGCCUCAAAUAGGUGAACCUUCUGUAGCUCAUGCGGAGCCAGAGCAUGAGACGCCAUAUGUGCCUCAUAGCCCACAACCUUAUACAGCUCGUGCCGAGCCAAAGCGUGACGUGACACCACAUGUGCCUCAUAGCCCACAACCUUCUACAGCUCGUGCCGAGUCAGAGCGUGACGAGACACCACAUGUGCCUCCUAAGCCAUAACCUUCUCCAGCUCGCCCUGAGCAAGGCCAUGAUGAGAUGGCACAGACUUUUCAACAAGCGUCGCUGACACAUGAAGAACUAAUCCCUCUAGUAUGUGAAGCUCGCGAAAAGAUCCCCAUCAUGAUAAGUCGACUGGGUCAACAUCUUUUGUGGAUAUGAACAUCUCAGGUAUGUACAAGUGGUAUGCUCAUGACCAGUUCAAGCCUGAGAACCAAGGCCCGAACAAAUUUGCCUACAGGAUGCCCACUGACACCUCAGACUACACAACGAUAAUGAAGUAUCUAGAUGUUGAAACCAUCAAGUGGUCAAAGGAUUGCCCGAAAGAAUGUGUAAGAGGCAAACAUUUCCUACCAAACUGGAUCCUGUGUAAGAUGCCAUAUGGAAUGAGAAGGUUUCAUGAUUGGUACUACUUCAUGUUUCAUGUACAGAACUGAAUGUGUUGGAAGCAGUAAUACCUGCUCGCACAUUUGGAGGCCCUGCUUCGGGGAUUGCCUUUGACUUCAACGACCUCCAAUCAUGCUUUCACUUUAGUUCAAUGUCGAUGAAUCUGAUUCGCACUUGGUGCCUAUAAGUUCUCUCCCUCUUGAUAUGAUCUGAAAGUAACCUAAUUGGAUUUUGCUAAAACUAACUUACCUCGUGAUUUUUAGAAUGCAAGCACGCUAUAUGAAAUCUACACGCUCAACGAAAGCUGGGUAUGUAGACCCUAUGCCUAUAGCACAAAUAAAUUUUAAUUACCCAUCGAGAUGGGAAUUGGAUGCGCCACAAUUAGCUGCUGGAGAGACUUUGGCGGAGAAAGAAAAGAUCCGUGUGGCCAAAAUAAGAGAAGAGUCCCUUAAGGUUGCGGCGUGGAUUGCCAUAUGUUUAAAGAAUCUCCAACACUUCGAAACAAUAUGGAUACCAUACCACUUCAAGUAAGUUCGAUUGUAUACUUAAUGAUUGUUCGGUAUAUCUUAUUUUGAUGCAAAGGUACUUAUGUGUUUAUUUAAAAUUGUUGUAGCAAUCACUGGAUAGUCAUAGGCGUCGAUGUCGGGAUGAACGUGGCAUGGAUUUGUGAUUCUGCAGAUUUUGACCCUCACACAUAUAAAGACUUCAUGUCAAUUCUCAUUACGUAAGCAAAUUAGUAAUCCUAGUAACCUUAUAUGAUUCACUUUAAUAUCGACUUCUGCAUACUAUAAGUCACAUCGAUUCUCAUUCAAACAGGGCAUUCAGGGCCUAUGUCAAGAAUCACAAAGGAAGGCAUGAUCCAGUUGUGGGCAGCCACUUGCGUUUCAAAUCUCUAUGUUCAGUAAGUGCGACUUAGUUUGGCAUAAAAUUACUAAUUUUUUCAGUACUUAUACUUGACAUCUCCAUUUGCAAAUUGAAACAAAGUUUCCCAAGCAAAGGCCAGGGAGUCUGCAUUGUGGAUAAUAUGUAUGUGCUUUCAUCAGUAACACAAAAGGCUACAGGAGACACCCUGAAUUGGUAAGUUUGAAUCUCUUAGUGGGUUGUAGUAUGAAAACAUAGUAUUUCUCAUUUAGCUUUGCAAUCUCUUCUUUACACUAGACCUAAAUUUGUCUUUUACGAUCUUGUAGUGGAAAGAAGAAAAAAGACUAAAAAGGGAUGUCUACAGGGAUGAUGACCUCUUAGAGAUCGGUGACCUUUGCAACUUUAUAAUGGACCAUGUUGUUUAUUACAAAGGUGAUUACCAUAACCUACUUUCUGACUUAGGUAGCAAUCCUCUUUACCAGCACCUCCAUCAGUGGGAUAGGCUAUGUCUAGGUCGUUGAUUACAUGUGAACUUGUGGUAAUGGACUGUGAUCGAUUUAUAUUAGUACUUGAAAAACUUUGGACUCUUUGGAUGGAUUUUUAAUGGACUUAGAAACAUUUGGGACUUGAAAUGUGUUGGACUAUAAAUGUGGUGCUGUGUAUAUGUAUGGAUCUGUAUGUUGUGAAUCUGUGAUGUUGAGAAUCUGAUUAUAUAUGUAUAUACAUAUGUUGUGUUGUGCUGUCAAUUCGAUUAUUGUAAUUUUUAUUUUUUUUUUCUGAAAAAUAAUUGUAGGGGCGGUUCUAGAUUGAACCGCCCUUGCAAAUGUAGACAAUAGGGGCAGCUGAGACACCAGCCGCCCUUACUAAUGCUCACUAUAAGGGCGGGUAGAAGCACCAGCCGCCCUUAUAGUGGUUACUAGUAAGGGCGGUUGUUGUUUCCAACCGCCCUCAUAGUGGCCCACUGUAAGGGCGGCUAGUGUUGAACCGCCCUUACAGUGAAUUCCAUUGUAAGAGCGUUUGCAUAAGGGCGGUUGGGCCAGCCGCCCUUACAGAGCUUAUUUAGCCGCCCUUGCUGUGCCUGACUGUAGUAGUGUGAAUCCAACCUAGACUCAACUAGGGUGCCCACACAGGACACAUCCGAUGUGUGCAAUCGGCACAUGGCUGUCCAAUUUGACUACCAACAGCUAGUAAGAUAGACAUUUCACCAACAACAUCCUCUAGAAUAGUUGUGAAUCCAAGAAUCAGAGCACAGUGCAACUGAGAACUAUGCAGGUGUGCUGUCAUGGUACAAAAGAUGCACUACUACAGAACACUACAAAGAGCUACUGUACAGGCGGUUCGCAACCUCUUUCUACAGGAAGAUUGACGAACCGCCUGCGCUGUUGGCCUGUGGAAAUAAAUUUUUCCACGGGCGGGUAACUGAGAACCGCAUGUAAAAAUUUAUUUCUACAGGCGGUUCAGUUAUGUGAACUGCCUGUAGAAAUCUAUUUUUACAGGCGGUUUAAUUAUGUCACCCGCCUGUAGAAAUUCAUUUCUACAGGUGGUUCAGUUAUGUGAACCGCCUGUAGAAAUCCAUUUGUACAGGCGGUUCAAUUAUGUCAUCCACCUGUAGAAAUCUUUUUAUAGAAAAUAUAAAAUCAACUUUUAAAAAUAGAAAAAAAAAAUUUAAUUACAGAGAAGGCCCACUAGAUAGUCGCAUGUCGCGCUUUUUUUCGUGUAAAAUCACGUGCUUCGCGGCCGGUGGGAUUCGAACCUGGCCUCUUCUACCACUCUACCUAUCACUCACUUGUCUCUAUAUUAGAGUUUAGUUCCCCACAUAUUAUCCUAAACCGAGCAUAUAUUGAUUAUUUGAGGCCCUAAACGGAUUCCAAUGGAAAAGUUGUCAACUAUAAAGUUUCAUAACUUUUCAACAUCUACAACUUUUAUAUUGGUAGUUUCUCCAUCCGAGGUCAUUUACAAAAUAUGAAUUUAAAAUUUGAGAAAUUCAAACGUAGUUUUUGACGACAUGAUUUCAAAUGAAAAAAUUAUCAACUACAAAGUUUAUUUUCGAGAUCUACAACUUUCAUUUUGAUGGUUUUUCAAACGAGGUCAUUUGAAAAACUCAAAAAAAUCAAUUUAAAAUUAUUUCUACAGGCGGAUUUAAGAAACCGUCUGUAGAAAUAUGAUUUUUACAGGCGGUUCGUUAGGAGAAACGCCUGUAGAAAUACAUGAUUUCUACGAGCGGUUUUGUUAGGAAAACCGCAUAUGAAAAUUGAUUUUCACAGGCGGGUUUUGAGUUGGGCCCGCCAAUUUAUUUUUACAGGCGUUCUUUAAUUAAAACAGCCUAUAAAAAUUAAAUUCCACCACCAGCUUAGAGCUUCUUUGUACUAGUGGAAUGAGGCAUUGGUCAAUGCCCAAAAUCGCUAAAAGCCUCGGCCCUUUUGCGGCCCGAGGCUAAAGACCCCUUUAGCACCGGUCUGUAACACGGCCGGUGCUAAAGGGGCCUACCCAAUGGCUACUGACUAGUGUUGUCGGAGCAGGGACCCUUUAGCACCGGUUCGUGUUACCAACUGGUGCUAAAGGGUUUGUUCAGUGCCACAGGCCGGGUCAAACCCUUUAGCACGGGUUCAAGGCACAAACCAUGCUAAAGGGUCACCUUUAGACUGGGUUUGUGCCUUGAAUCGGUGCUAAGGGGUCCGGUUUAUAGGCCACGGCUGCCUUGAAUCGGUGCCUUGAAUCACCAUUGUUGUUGCUAGAGCUUGCAUUUGUUCUUCUUGCUUGUUCUUGCUUGUUCUUCAUCUCCGGCGCCCAUCGUUGAUCUUCUUCGACUCCGUCAUCGUCUCUUCGUGCUUGGAGGUGACUAUCUUCAUCCUUCCUUUUCUUUUUCACGUUGUUUUUGGCUUGUGAUUUUCCCAUCAUUUUCAGCUCAAAUUCACUUGUUAUUUUGAAUCCUUCGCUUGAAUUAGUAUAUAUAUAUAUAUAUAUAUCAUAUUUCAUGGUUUACCUAUUAUUAAUGUAGUUUGCAAUAAUGAAUUAUAGUAUCUUUUUAAGUCUUUUUUUCUUUAUAUUAGAACAUGAGAGGAUUAGAGUUUAGUUAAUGUAUAUAGUUUACAAUAAUGAUCUUAGAUAGUUGGAUAGUUCAAAUUGAUAGGUUUUUAUUAGUACAUAAUAUCCAUUGUAUAAGUUAGAAAAAUUGUUGAAGUAGCUAGACAAAUAAAGGAUAUUAUUAGGUUCUUCUUUAAUCAUACUUGUUUACUAGAAAAUGUGGAAUUUGUAAUUAUUUAAAAAUUGAGUUUGGAUAGUAGAUGACAACCGUGACUGGGUCGUCGGUCUCUCAACAGGUUCAAAAGCGAUACCGGCCAGAACUCCCUCUCAUUACUUGCGGCAAGUGUGGGCAAAAGAUUGUGAUGGAGUACAAAGUGUCGAAAGAGGGAGUAAACAAGGGUCGUAUAUUCUACAAGUGUCUAGAUCGUAAUGUGAGUUAUUUCUAGACAUUUGCUUAUAUAUGUGCCUAUUUUUUUAAUGAUGUUACUUAAACUUUUGAUCCUCUCUUCUAAUUUCAGUGGGACGGUACCAGCAGAUGUACGGGUUGGUACUAGGAGGAAGAAUACAUUCAACACACAAGAAAUCUUUUGCACACACGGUUAAGGAUGAAGGUGAUGAGGCAGUGAGCCAGCGAAAGGAGUCCAUCGAUGUUGAUCAAGCGAAUGAUCUAUCUAUUAUAGUUGGGAUCGGAUGCGAACUAAUUAUGGUGCUUAAGUGCAUUUAGUUUUAGUUUUUUAGUGCUAGUUGCGAUUAUCUUAUUUGUAGCCAGGCUUGCUUGAAUUAAUCAACUAUGUGUGUUAGACAUGUUGUGCAAUAAGAUGAGAACCUAUAUAUGCAUGGUUUUCAUAAUAUAUAUGUUAUAUUUAAUGCAGAUGGUAACGUGCAAUUGGAUGUAUAAUGCCGAUCGGCGCUCCGAAGAGUUUAUUAAUGGCGUGCACUAUUUCUUAAGUGUGGCCGAGACAAACAAGAGGGACUAUUUCAUGUGCUGUCCAUGUGCCGUGUGCAAGAAUUUGACGUAAUAUUCUAACUCAAGGACUCUUCAUUCACACUUAUUAAAGUCUGGUUUCGUACCAAACUAUAUUUGUUGGACCAAGCGUGGAGAAAGCGGGAUUAUAAUGGAUGAGGGUGAAGAAGAAGAAUUGGACCACGCCGACAUUAUUGCUUAGUACGGUGGCUUCGAUGAUGUUGCAAUGGGGGGGAGAUGAUGAAGAAGAGGUAGCGGCAGAAGAUGAUCGAGGCGAUGAUGCUUUUGGUGAUGUCAUCCAUGAUGCACAAAGAGAAUGUGAAAGUGAGAAAGAGAAGAACAUGUUCGAGUGCAUACCAGAGGACCACAGGAAAUCGCAAUAUCCGGCCGCUGAAGAGGGGCAAAAAAAAGCUGGGUACCACACUAGAAUUGCUACAAUGGAAGGCAAAGAAUGGUACAUCUGAUAAGGCAUUUGAGACUGUUGUUUCACCAUAUUGACAAUGUUGUUACUUGGCUUGAGUCCCCCAGCUACAAGACCCUGAGUUCCACAUCCUAGAAGUUGACUUUACAUUGUCACUAUAUCCCCCACCACCAGCAUCCAUCUUUUGUUUCUCGUCCACACUCCGUAUUGUCUCCUUUGGUGGAUGCCGCCUCCCAGAUAUCAUGGUCAAUCAGCUCCAGUUCCCCAACCUCCAGCAGCUUACACUAUUUGAUGCUAUUAUAUCUGAAGAGACCCUGCAUGCCAUGCUUGAGAGUUGCCCCAAACUUGAGAUCUUGCUGAUGAAACGCAAUGAAGGUUUUCGCUAUGUUCAGAUCAAUUCCCGAUCCCUUAAGAGCAUAGGUGUUCAUACUGAUUCGUUUUGAGAAGGUCCCACUAUAGAGGAGCUCAUUAUUGAGGAUGCGCCAAUACUUGAGAGGCUUAUCAGUUUUGAGCGAUAUAGUAGGUUGCACAUAUCAGUGAUCUCAGCACCAAAGCUGGAAACCCUAGGCUGUACUUUUGAUAAUAAUGACAAGACAAUGCUCACUCUUGGAUCUACGACUUUUCUGGUAACAGAGCCCUCUCCCAAGUCCCAAUGUUCACACACUACUAGAGAAUAGGCCUUUGGUCACUUGCCCAAAAUGAACAAUAAUCUUGGCCCAAUCACCGUCCGGGACAAAAACAUAAUUAGUCCCGGUUGGUGAGACCAACCGGGACUAAAAGUCCUCUGCCCAACGGCUAUGGUGCCAGAGAUCGGCAGAAGGGACCUUUUAGUCCCGGUUGGUCUUCCCAACCGGAACAAAAGCCCAACCUUUAGUCCCGGUUGGUAACACCAACCGGGACUAAAAGUUGUUGUCCCGGUUCGUCUCACCGGCCGGGACUAAUGUUGGACUUUAGACCCGGUUUUUAAAUGGAACCAGGACUAAAUUUCCUUCCCCAUAUUUGAACUCUUCUUCUUCCCCUGGCCGAGCCCAUCGAUCUUCACUCUUUUGCUGUGUUCUUCAUUUGGAGUUGCUUGUUCUUGCACUCAUCUCCGGCUAUUGAUUCAUUUCAUCAUUUCUACGCCGUCAUCGACUUGUUAUAGGUGCGCGUUCCAUAAACUACCAGCAAACAAUACGCAUUCGAAAAUAACAAUAACAUAAUUGUAAACCCUAAAUGGAAAACCAAAUGAAAAGAAAAAGAAAAAAGAAAAAGUCUUUAGUCCUGGUUGGUAGCAACAACCGAGACUAAAAGUGGAGACCAUGUGGCACACCCUGGCGCACCUUUUAGUCCCGGUUUAUGUUACCAACCGGGACUAAAGAUGGGACAUUUAGUCCCGAAACCUUAGCCCCGGUUCCGUAGCCGGGACUAAAGGCCUUCACUGUACUAGUGACUUACAUGUUACUCAAGUUAUUUUUGAAAAUAAUUAUGAGCUCCCCCAUUGAUUUUUAUUUAGAGUAUUUUAUUUUAUAACUUUUUGUUUUGAUUCACUAACAAAAUGUUUUAUUUGACCAAGGGAAUACAUUCUAUUGACAUGAGAGCAAUGGUGCCAAUGCAUACUGUCAAGGUCUUAUCUGUGUUCCCUUUGUCUCUCUGUCUGGAUAAUGUUCUCAAUUUCAUUAGAUGUUUUCCGUGCCUAGAGAAGCUGUACAUCCAGCUGGUAAUGUCUCUUACUUCAAUAUACACAAAGAAAGUUAAUUUUGCUCUCCAUAAUGUCAUGGCUAACCUUGUCUGAUUUCUUGAUCUGAACUAAUAUUUCACACUCAUUUUAACUUGCAGUCUUGUGCACAAGGGCACACGAACCAGUGGCCCCGUAAACACAGGAAUCUUAUCAAAUCGCUUGACCUUUGCCUGAAAACAAUAGUGAUGAUAAAUUAUCAGGGCACAGCAGAACAAUCAGAAUUUGUGACAUUCUUUGUGGAGAAUGCAAGAAUGCUUGAGUCUAUGAGGUUUGUGGUCCCGAGUUGUUUCUAUCAUGACAAGAACUGGAUAAGAAGCCAGAAUAGACAGCUCAAGCUGGACAAGAGCUCUUACAGAGGUGUUUCAUUUACUUUCACUGAGAAUCAAUUCCACCACAAUAUGAUACAUGUUUUGCGGGCCAGUGAUCUGUCAGCAGCUGAUCCGUUUCACUGUAACUGCUGAAUCUGGCAUUCAUAUGAAAAUUGUCAUACACCUAAAAUAAUCUUGAUUGUUACUUUGCUUAAAAACCGCAUUGUAUUCCUUUUCAGAAAGACACCUUGUAAUCUCCUAUGCAAUUUGCAUAAAUGAUGCUUCAAACUUGUUGUGUUUUCAAUGUCAAUGCUGUAUCUGCAUUCAGUCAGUCUGAAAUUGGAAUUAAUUUUGUUAUGAAGAAAUAGUGUGCCUUGCAAUGGUAUGUGAUGAUCUUUGCUUGAGUUGCAUAUUGUCUCCUACUUUAUUUUUCUGUGAUGCAAAUGGCAUGGAGGUGGUACCAGCCUGACUACCAGGCUGGUAUCAAUAUAUAUCUUAGUUUGUUACUGGCCUUUGCAUGUCAAGUGGUUUUACUGGAAUUGACAUCUUUUAAUUUGGAAGUGUGCGUUUACAUAGUCUUUAUGCACAUUUAAAGCUACCACUUUUAAAGUGUGUUCCAGGUGAUUUCUUAGCAACCCCAUGUGCAUGGAAAGCUGAUAAGCUUCCAUGUAUAUUUGCUUGAAUUGAUAUUACACAUUUCUUGGUAUAAGAUGUGCUGAUAUGACUUUUGCUUGCUUUGUUUUGAUUUUUUUUCCUUUCUUUAUCUUGUUUCUUUAGUUAAAUGUGUACUUUGGUUCUUAUUCCGUUUAAUGCAACCAGCUCUUGUUUUCUAAAAAAAUUGCCACUCCAUCCAAGCCAUGGCAAUUGCAAUUAAUUGGGUUGGCCUCAACAAAGCUAGCUCUUUCCCUUGGAAAAUAACUAAAACAUACCCUAAAGCCACCAGACUGCGCCUUCUCUCUUGAGAAAGAAAACUAGAAGAGAGUGUCGAUCUCAUUUUGAUUAUGAAAGUACCUAGGCUUUCCUUUUCCUUUCUCAAGCUUCAAGUAGUCUCCUCUGUCUCCACUAUGCUAGUACAUUAUUUUCCUUCCAUUCCUGGAUUAAUCUUUUGGAUGAUACUUUAGAGGCGUUUGGUUCAGGUGAGAUGCACUGCUUCUCUGUGACCUGUUCUCUUCUUUUAGACACUAGGUUCUUCGCAAGUUUAGCACGACUUUGUACUGGAAUUAGGACGCAGCUCAUCACUUUGGUAUGUUCUUUUACUGCUUCCUUCUUUGAACUAUGAUAUGAUGUAGUUCUCUUCAUGUGAGGCUUUUUUGCUUCAACUUUACUUCAUUUUAUUUGGAUGCCAAGCUUGAGAUAAACCUUUCCCUUUGUGAUGCAUGGACUGCAGCAACAUUGCCAAGUUGUAUGAGUUUUAUUGCGACACAAAUAUAUACGCUCAUGAUAUGGCAAUUGAGAUUUGUACAAUAUGGAAGUCUAUGAAAGAAUCCUUGUCUUUCGUGGACUGCAAGAAUCUGAAUGCACAUCUAAUUAACGCUGUAAAGCACAGGAGUACAACCGAAUAAUAGAAACACUUCACUUCCGCUUGAUGAUCUUCAGUGACUUGUUGAUGUUGUUGCUUCCAUCAUCUUCAAUAAUUCCUGACAGCCUACAAAAUUAUCGACAUGCCUGGUGGGUCGUGGGCAGCAGGACAAGACUUCAACCUUGAAAUAGGUCCUUUUCUGUGGGUUGGUGAAAGAAUGUGAAUACCGGUAUGAAUGCUUGUCUUGCAUUGGGAUCCUUGUCGGUACAUAUAGAGUGUCUGCCUGCUUACAUGCUAGUAUGAAUGGCUGAGAGCAACCUAACCUAUCUAUAGCACUAAGACCAAGUACACUAGCCUAACCAUAGCACUAAGACUAGGUACACUCUAACAUCACCCUGCAGUCACAGCGGGAGCACCACAGACCGUGAGACUAGAGAAGAAGUCAAUGGACAUCUCCCCGUAGUCACAACUUGGCGCAAUGCAGACCCUAGGAUGUUCAAGGAAUUUCAAUGGGGCCUGGUGUUGUAUGCACAUGUUUGAUAACUGUGUAUAUUAAUGGUUUUAUGCAUUGGAUGAGGUUUUCCAAGAUAGUUGCUGUUGAUAUGUAGGAAAAGACAUGGAGGAAAAUUCAUAGGCCAUAUGGUAAAACAACAAUCUCCAUCCAUGAAACUCAGGGUCAGUUGUGUGCAUAUACUACUGCUAUGUAUCGGAGGUAUUAGCUUUCCUUCUGGGUCCGAGAAGACUAACAACAUUGAAGCAUACGAUGACCAUGCUUGAGAUAUUUGGACAGAGCACAAAUGAGUUUUGUUAGGAUCUUUGCGAUGUGGAGUAUAGAGUGAUUGCAGUUCACCUGAAAUGGAAUUUGAUUUUCUUAGCUGGCGAGGACAAAAAACUAAUUGCAUAUGACAUGAAACUCAGAAAAGUUCUUGUCCUCGCUACCCACUUCACGCGGAAUGGUAGACCUAGCUGCUUGCUAAGUCCGGAAGGACCUCAUUAUCUUGCUUUUGUUCCCGUGUUCAUGGAGUAGGUCGGACAAUAGUAAAGUUGCAUAUGGUGUUCUUUGUCAGGUGUGGAGUUGUUUUGAUUUUAUAUAGAAUAUAGUUUUUCCUUGGUAACUAAAGCAAUUUUAUGUUGAAUAUUAGAAAUGCUGCUACUUUGUGCAGGUUGUGGAAUCCGAGUGCUUCUAAACGAUAGAUUUUCCUACAAUGGCUAAGGGAUGAAGAAGAGGGGUUGCAUGGUGCACUGGCUAGAAAGCUGAAGGAAACUUUGCCUUACAAGGAGUGGUAAUCUGAAGGAGCAGAGCACAUCUACCUCGUCUUUGUUAUGUAAGUCAGUAGGGAGCAGAACCUUUAUUCUCCUAUCUAUGUACCGCUCCUGUUAAUUCUUGAGUUGACACGGUUGUUAUGUUAGUGUCACCUCUUAUUAUAAAAAGUACUCUUAUUGUUGUGGACAUGAUGAAUGGCGUUUAAUGUUUACAUCUGUAUGUUGUGUGUUCAGUAAGUUGUUAAGGCCCUAUCUGAAUUAGUAAAUAAACUAUGAAACCGGUUGCAAUUCUGUCACCAUCGGUUUUAUGGGACGUCGUCUGUUUUGUCAUCAUGCCGUAACGCUUGCCGUUAGUGAAGUAGACAGACGUCUCAUGUGGUAGGGAUCAAUAGUGCACCACACAUUCAAAUCAUACUGCAAUGCAACAGUGACCACCAGAUGGUUUAUACGCUGAAACCGAUGGUGAUGGCUACCUCAAAACAGAUGUUCGGGUGCCAAAGCGACGGUGAAUGUGCACUGGACACAAUCGGAUUAUUGGUCCAAACGUCAGUGUUAGUGUACACCAACAUAGGUGAGUUGAGUAACAACAUGAUGGAAAUAACGACCUAACUGAUCAUGGAUGAUGGCUCAUAAGCCAACAUGGGGGUGUUAGCAUACACUAACACGAGCAGAUCAUAAGACAAUGGGACAAUGUUGGCGUACACCAACAUAGGCGGGUCAUGCUUCAAUGGAAGGGAAACAACGACGUGAUCAAGGAUGGAUCAUAAACUGACACAUUGGUGUAGUAUAUGCAAACAACACCGGAUCGUGCUUCAAUGUGACUGAAGUAAGUUUCUUAUCACAGACGGAUCAUAAGCCAAAAUAGCGGUGCCGCCUAGUCGGUCCGUGGCUGCAUCGCUGAUAGCUACGACUUUCACAGCCGCUAAAUCACCAUCGAGGGCAAAAAGUGACCGCAAUGUGGGUUGCAAAAUGACCAUGAAGGUUGCGAGUAUAGUAGUGUGUUUCCUUGGAGGUUAUCAACCCUCAAGAAAAUUAAUUUACUUAGUGGCUGUUGACCCUCAAGAAAACUACCUUCCUUAGUGGUUGCAAUAUUUCCUUGGCCCUUUAGCAAAUUGAGUCUGGUUCUAAUUUCGUUGGCGGUUAGCCGAAAAAAAAUCAUCCUUGAGUGCCAGAGUCGUCAAGGAAACUUAUUUUCCUUAGCUUUCUAUCCUUGAGUGUGUUUACUUGACAGUUUGUGGUCAAGGAUCGUUUUCUUGGUGGUUUAACCUCUUUCAAACGUGUGCUUAGAUGUGAAGGUAUAACUAUAUAUAGAUGCUGCAUGUACACGUCGUCCACUAAUUUUGUUAAAAAAAUUAGUAUCUCAAGUUUGUUGAAAACAUCCUAUUGUCCACACGAUUUAAUCAGGGCAUAUAGAAAACAUUAUAUUUUAGAUGCUAUAAUCUAAAAUUUCUUUAUUAAUUAUACCGUUCAAACUAGAACAUUUAUUUUAAGACGACUGGAGUAUAUAUCGGCACCUAGCAUUGGCCUGAACCUAUGGAGACGAACGAAUGUUUAGCAUCACUGUCCAACUGUGAGAUUUCUAUGGACAUAGAUCUUUGUCUCCUCUUUGGCCUUGCAUGCACAUAACUUAGACGACGAAGUCACUUGGUGGAUACAAGGUGACCAACACUAUAUAUAUUAUAGUAGUGUGUGCUCAACACCACACACCACCUAGCUUCUCUUUCCAAAACCAUGGCGUGCACUGUCCUUUCAUUGCUAGACCACAUCUUGAUCACUGUAUUGCUCGUCCUCGCUCGCGACAUUAUCAUAGCCGGUGUUGGCAUAGCUCCACCUCCCACUCCUCUACCUCUUCCACGGCUACGUGCACCCUCUCUGACACCUCAUCCUCCCAGUCUUGGGUCUCCUCCUCGCACUCCUCUUCAUCCUCCCCCUCGGACAAGCGCUCCACCUCUAAAUCCUCUUCCUCGUCCAUGGUUGAGGGCACCUUCGCCAGGUCCUAUUCCUCCACGGCUAGGAGCUCCAACUCGUACUCCUAUUCUUCCUUCUCCUAAGGUAGGUGCUCCACCACCUACACCUAUUCCUCCUAUUCCUCGUUUUGGGGCUCCCUCCCGUGGUCCUAUCCUUCCACCCCCUCGAAAGGGUGUUCCACCUUCUACUACUCCACUUCCAGCACCACGAUUAGGGGCACCUCUCCCAUCCCGUCGUCCUUGUCGUCCACCUAGCGCUCCUAUACUUCCUCCUCGUCAGAAAGGCGCUCCACCUUCCACUCCUCCACUUCCUACACCAAAAUUAGGGGCACCCCUCCCAUCCGCUCCACUUCCUCCACCUCGUGCUCCUGUACUUCCUCCUCGUCAGAUGGGCACCCCACCUUCCCCUCCUCCACUACCUGCACCAAGAUUAGGGGCACCUCUCCCAUCCCCUCUUAAACCUCCAUCUCGUGCUCCUGUAGUUCCUCCCCGCCGAAAGCGCAAGCCACCUCCUACACCACGUUCUAAGGCACCCAUUCCAUCUCCUGUUAUUCCGCCCCCUCGAAAGGGCGCUCCACCUUCCCCUCUUCCACGACCCGCACCAAGAUUAGGGGCACCCCUCCCAUCCCCUCUUAAAGCUCCAUCUCGUGCUCCGGUACUUCCUCCCCGGCGAAAGCGCACCCCACCUCCUGCACGACGUUCUAAGGCACCCAUUCCACCUCCUGUUGUUCCUCGCCCUCGAAAGGGCAGUCCACCUUCCAGUCCAAUUCCUGCACCACGGUUGGGGGUACCCCUUCCAUCUCGUCCUCUUCUUCCCCCUCGCGGACCUACUUUUCCUUCACCUCGGAGGGGCACUCCGCCUUCCACUCCUCCACUUCCUACACCUCUUCUUCCUCUAGCUCGUGCUCCUUUAUAGAAAAUCUUUUGUCUAAGCAAUCGUGAAGGCAGCACCAAUCUCUUCUGAAACAAUAAGAUAGCAACAACAACAAUAUCUUCAUUGAACUCGUCAAAAUAGUUCUAGAAGCCAAAGAUUGAAUCUCAGCUGGAUGGGUUUGCGUUUGCUACAGUGCCAUAGGGUCCCAUCGGCCACAAGAAAAUCAUGUAAUAAAUACAACUAUUUUGUUUGUGGGGUGUGUAAUAAAUUGGUAAGCCUAGGCUUACCACUCCUAUGUAUUUCAACACUCCUUGCAAUAGGGAUUUGAUUUGCUCAAUUAGCCAUCAUGGAUCUGUUUGCAACUCAUCAUCCUUCUCUAUUUGUCAUUGUUUGUUCCUUCCUCGGUGUGUUUUUAUUUUAACACAUGGGCACACAAAGAAGCUGUCCAUUUCUUUUAAAGCAAGAAGAAUUUGCAAAACAGCCCCUUAGUUGGAAAAACUUGUACAUGACUAAAGUAGUGUAGAGAGAUGUUGGAAGAUAUAUUUGUUGGUUCUUUUCCAUCAAAAUUUUAGUUUCCCAUAAAA
RNAcentral lists this long non-coding RNA (50810 nucleotides) under Sorghum bicolor (sorghum). RNAcentral's name for it is "long non-coding RNA (SBIC_LNC001201)". The record is from RNAcentral. Lineage: Eukaryota; Viridiplantae; Streptophyta; Magnoliopsida; Poales; Poaceae.